RNAcentral lists this long non-coding RNA (50044 nucleotides) under Hordeum vulgare. RNAcentral's name for it is "long non-coding RNA (HVUL_LNC006013)". Lineage: Eukaryota; Viridiplantae; Streptophyta; Magnoliopsida; Poales; Poaceae. The record is from RNAcentral.
CCGGCCGUCUCGUCCUGCGCGAGCGCGAUGGCGAGCUGCGGCGGGAGCACGACGCUGUCCAUGGAUCGGAGGUAGGGCGACCACACCGACUGGUCCCGGUGGCCCUGGUAGGCGACGGGGAGGCGGGUGGGCACGGUGAUGGCCACGCCCUUGUACUGCGCGUACAUGUCCGUCUCGUCGUAGUAGACGCCGACGCGGUCGUUGGUGUUGCGCGCCGCCACCGUGGCCUGCAUGGUGGUGAAGAGGUAGGCGGAGGUGGGCGGGGUGACGUUGAGGCAGAGCACCGCCAGGUCCUGCAGGUAGAAGGUGGGCUUGUGGGGGCGGAGCACCAGGUAGACGAUGAGGAUGAUGAAGAGGGCGAGGAGGACGAGGGCGAGCAGCGCGCCGCAGCACUUGCGGUAGAGCCGGCGGCGGUGGCACUCGCAGCCGCCCUUGUGCCCGCCGCAGUCCUUCACCGCCAUGGAUUAUGGAUAUGGAUGGUGGUCGAGGGGGGAGCAGCAGCAGCGUGUAAUGGAUGGAUGGGUGCUGCAGCAAGAUGGAAGCAGGAAGCAGCUAGCAGCGAUGAAGCGAGGUGUGAGGCUGUGAUCGAUCUGUGGGAUGGGAGGAAGGUGGAGAAGAAAAGGCAGUUGGGCACGAGGUGGUAUAUAUACAUCUACCACGGCAGCGGCAGGAGGAAUUGGUGAUUGGUGUGGGGUUAGGAGGAGGAGGGGAUCAGCAUUGGUCAGUGUGAGGAGGAGUACUGACAAGUUGGGUGUUGUCGGCUUGGAGCAGCUGGUACAUACAACCUGCAAGUGGGCCUUGGUGAGCAGUCUCUUGCUGAAGAAGCACUGUUAAUUAGAAGUAGUGGAAUUGUAAGCCUGAUAAAACAUAAAUGAGAGGUGGUUAAUGGUGAUGAAAAAUGGAGCAGUGUGGGUGAGACGGCGAGUGCCAUGCUAGGUUCCGAAAGCAGCAAUGAAUAAUAGGCCGGGUUCAGACAGGGGAUCGAGUCAUCGAGAUGAGAAACGAAAAGAUGACACUUUUCUUUUCUAGUGAUGAUUAAUAGGCCGGGUUCAGACAGGGGACGCCUUUAGUUCCUCACAUAGUAUGUUACAAACAAAACUUUAUCAGUUCAGAUGCACCGCCAGUCGCUUGUAAACGCGUUUUGUGUCAGUCGCGUGAAAACAGCCGGAGGGAAGAAGAAGCUCGUCGGAGAAAGCCCUCUAGGUGUCUUAAGAUGGCAGGCACCUCCGUUGUCUAUCUUAAGGGUGCGGGGUGCAUGAUGCAAGCUCGUUGAAAAAUAAAAUGACCAUCGUCGAGGCGAGAGGGAUGGUCGGGGUGGCGGCAGCACGUACGACGGUGAGAGGCGGUUGAGGGGCUGGCGCAGGAGCCGAGCGCCCCAACUGCGGGUAGUGGUGGGUGGAGGGUGGGGCGUCCACAUCAAUCAAAUGGGAUGAAGCCAACACAAUCCCAACGGAAAGCUAAAGUGCAAGAAUAACAAGGAGGAGGAGAAGAAGAAUCGUAGCACGAACACGGGUCCGCGUCACCUUCGUUCCGUGUGCACGCAGCUGCAGCCAGCCAGCCCCACUCUCUUCUCCAUCUUCAUCACAAGAAAAAAAUGCGACGUACGCAACGCGGCACAGCACAUGCAUAGCAUGGUCCGAUCGAUCGAGCUACACCACCAUGGUCCACGGCCAAGAUCGACAUGCGUGCAUGCAUGCAUGCAUAUCGUCAGUACCACGUACCACGACGCGUCUAGCCUAGGAUAUGUUGCCAGAUCUGUCCUACGAGUUAAUUCCUCGUGUCGGACUAUUUCUAAUCUGAUACUCCUGCGUUAAGCUUAUAAAGAUUCCACUAACAGAUUACGUACGAAGCAAAAUAAAUGAAUCUAUAUUUUAAUAUAUGAUUAUGUACAUCCGUAUGUAAUUUGCUAAUGAAAACUUUAAAAGAAUUAUAUUUACAAACGGGUGAAGUAGAUCGAUCGAUCGUCCUAGUAGUACGAUUAGGAUAUAUCAACAUCAGUUCAUAAUCACCAUGCAAAUUUAUUUCCAAUCGUAUAUCACCGUGGUGAGAAAGCGGAGCAACAUACAGUAGUAUCGUUCAGAGCCGGCCGCGAGUUAUACUUAUUCCAUCUCUUCAUAUGCAUGCAUGUGCGAUCAUCAAAACAAUCGAGAGGAGGAGGACGACGACGAUACGCUAUAUAUGUAGGUACGUACGUCCGUCAGCCGAAUUCACGGACCAGAUCCAUUGGAAGGACGCGCAAAAGGUGUGGGGGUGGAGGGACGCGGUCACACGGAAUCGGAAGCUUCUCCUCUUUACACGUUUGUGCAUGCGAGUCGUCCGUCGCUCGUGCCAAAACAAGGGCACAUAUGCAAUGCCAGCUACUUGCAUGGUUCGAUUAGAAUACUCCUUAGAGCAUCUCCAACAGCGGCGCAAAAAGGCGUGCGCGCUAAACCGGUAUUUUACCGCGCGCGGGACAUAAUUGCGCGCUCCAGCGGCGACGGGAAAACCGCGCGCGCGGGAACCGCUAGCGCGCGCGCCAUUUUUCCGGCGCCGCGUCCCGCGCGUCCAUAAAAGGUAGCGCGCUGCCCUGCCUCUCGCGCCGCGUUCUCUCUCCCUCUGCCUCUCGCGCCGCCGCCGCGUUCUCUCUCCCUCUGCCUCUCGCGCCGCGCUCUCUCUGCCUCUCGCGCCAUCAUGCCGUCGCGCCGCCGUUCUGCAUCGGGCUACCGCGGCGUCCGCCAGCGCCCCAACAGCGGGUUCUACGCCGAGAUACGCUCCGGCGAUCUCCGGCUGAGCCUCGGCACCUACGACACGGCGCACGAGGCCGCCCGCGCGUUCGACGCGGCGACGUGGCGCCUAGGCAGGCAGCGCCUCCAGAUGAAUUUUCCGGACGUCCGCACGCUCCAGCAGGCGUUAGACCUGGCCCCGCCGCCUCGUCUAAACUCCGCACAAGACCGUGCGGAGCACACUGCGCUGCAGCGCCGUCUCCUCGUCGCCCAGGAGGACGAGCGGGUGAUGGCGGAGUGACGCCUACGCCACCCGGAGGACGUCGCCUACGAGCAGGAAUAUUGGGAACGACGCCGCGAGGAGGACACGCGCCGGCGCCGCGAGGAGCGCUUGGACAGGCCGACCUCGUCAAUGCAGGCGGAAGGUCCUUCUUCACUGAAGAAGAUGAGCGUUGGUUUGACAUCUGGCUGUCAACCUCUGACGACACCAACGACGAUGAUGAUGGUGCAGAUGACUGGAGCGAUUAGGAGUUUUUUUGUUUUCGAAUUAUCUAGCACCGAAUUAUCUAUCUAUGUUUUCAAACUACCUAUCUAGUUGCAAUAUAUGUAAAAUAACUUUAUAUCGUUUUUAUUUUAAUGGAAUCUACUUUACGAAAUGUUGUGCGCGCGUUGUAUUUUUUGGCACUGCUGGAGCGGCGCGCGCGCUGCAUUAUAGCGCGGUUGUUGGAGCCAGCGCCUAUCCCUGCGUUAAAUCAGCCGGCGCGCGUGCUGUAAAUAUAUUUUUUAAGCGCGGCGUGAAGCGCGGCUAUUGGAGAUGCUCCUCGCUACCUAGAAGCGGCUAGAGGCACCGGUCAUGGUUGUUGGCAGAUGCAUGGUCGACUAGUCCAAGUUUGAGGACAACUCAGAGAGAGAAACAGAGAAGGAAGCUAGCCAGCCCAGCCAUGUUAAUCAAGGACGGACGUCUCCUGAUUCCUACCGCCAUUAUAUUCAGCCGGCUCCAUGCGGAAGCACAUGCAACGAUGCAAAAUAGCGCAAGCAGAGCAGGCCAGCAGCCACAUAUGUACACGGAAUGCACAAGCAAUCAUCAAAGAUAUAGGUUGCCUAGAAAAAACAUCAUAUUUUUUUAGGGGUUUACAAAAUAAAUAAAAACAUCGAUCCUGUGUUGGACGUUUUACAACGGACUAAUCCGUACAGAAUAGGGGCCGGCAAAGUUGGUGCAGCAACCGUGCAUGUGAGCCUAUGACUGACUCAUGUUCGGUCUCAUCGCAUGAUGAUGGCCCAACCGAUCGGUCACGUGGAUGGAAAUGAAAUACAAUAUAUAGCUUUUGGUUAAACUUGCAAAAGAGCCCGUGCAUUGUAUUGUAAGAGAAAAUAACACACGCUCUGAACGUAAUAUAUUUUCACAUGGCAUCAUAUUUGUGUUGUCGACGAUGGCUUUAGUGCUCACACAAUGAAAGCGUGUUUGAAUAUACAGUCAUUCGGAAUAAGAUGAGAAAUAUGUUGUUUCUUCCCGCGAGGUUUUCCAAAGGUGUGCAUGUGUUGUUAAUGAUGUUUUCUUUUCUCUUAAUUUGGUUUUAGUUUAAUGGAUGUUUAUUGCAAUUCAUAUCGUCGCCGGAAAGAGAGAGAAAAAAAGAACCGUACACUACAAAUUAAGUUUGCACCAAAUAUAAUAUUUAAGAACUAUUCAACACCUAAAAAUAACAUCCUAUUUAGAUUCUAUACAUUUUUUAAUCAAAUUUCAUAUAUAACAUAUUAAAAUCGGAGUUAUGGUUUAAAAGAUAUGGAUAAUUUUAUUUUACGUAAAAUGUGGAUUGAUUAACUGAAAAAUUAAGGUUUUUUUGUUAAAAUACGGAGGGCGGGUUGAUUACCUGAAACAUCAGGUUUUUUGGAAAAAUGCAAAAAAAGAUUCAUUUUCGAACUUAAAUCCGGACUGCAGGUUGAUUACCUGAAACAUCAUAGGGUUUUUUGGAAAAUGCAAAAAAAGUUUCGUUUUUGGACUCAAAAACGGACUGCGGAUUGAAUACUGAAAAAGCGAGGGAUGUUUUUGCAAAAUGACCACGACGGCCGACAGAAGCGUUGCGUGCUUUAUUAUUAGGGAGAGAAGAGUGCAUGGUGUUCCGCCGACGGUCCUCCUCGACACCAUAGCGAGGCAGAGCAUGCCAGCAGCCACAUAUGUACACGGAAUGCACAAGCAAGCAAUGGCGGAGCGUUCUGGGGACAAUUCCGGGCUGGCCCGAGUGCGGACUUUUGGUGCUCGAUCAUCAUGGUGGGGGGUAUUUUUAAAAUAUCAAAAGGCCCAUUCAAAAGUUAAAAAAAGGAAAUCAAAAGAAAAUCAUGGAAACAUAUAUGUGUUCCGCAUGAACGUAUGAAAAUUUGAUUGAAAAAGUUGUGAUUUAUAGGCUGUACAAAAAAACCAAUUUCCGGCCCCAUAACAUAAUAUCCUGGCCCAUUUCAAAAUACGUUUUUUUUCUCUUUGUGUGUAUGCCACGUAUGAAAACAUGAUGUUAUGAAAUUUGCAUAUACGCCAUAUACAUGUGUAUGUGUGUUCAUAAGAAAAAAUAAAAUAAAAAUCACAUUGUGGAAAAUUGUGUUUUGAAACCGUCCACCAUGGUGAUCGGUCACCAUUGGCAUUUUUGGGCCUUGCCUCCCCCCCCCUUCCUAGAAGAAAUUAUGCUAAAUAAGGAUAUGCUUCACUAAUCGCUCUACUAAUCCUUCAACCUCUCCGAUCAUCCUAGCCUUUUCUAUGUAAUAUUCACUUAUUUGCCCCUCCUUAUAUUUGGUUUACGCUUCGUCACUGCAAGCAAGCACCAUAUAUUGGAGCUUCACAUGGUAUUCCAUUAGAAGAGUGCUCAAGAUAUAGGAAACUAGAGAAAAAAGAGGUUUGGACGAACUAAGAGGAGAAGAAAAAAAAAUCAAAAACUCGAGCUCGAGAAACAAACCGAAGGCCUCCUCGCCAAUAUGAAAGGAGGCCAAGCUUUGGUAACCGUGGGUGCUAGAAAAUUGGGCCAUCUAAUGCAUGCCCCGAGAAUAGAUGAUCGCUUUUAUCUUGGGUGUUGCUGCGUUCUUUGUGUUGUAACAUUAAUUAAAUCUCUAUUAAUCUUCUAUUUAAUGAGUGGUGAAAAUCUUUUGCCUCUUUUUUAGAAAAAAUAAUAUAGAAAGGGAAUGCAAACCAAUACGUUUUAGGAGAAGGAAACUUUUUAUUUAAUACAGACAAUAAAAACGAUAUGUUAGCCGAUAUAAAGGACCUUGCAUGACACGAAAGACAUGCAACCCAUCGCAUCGACAAGCAAUCGUUGAUGAGAACCACCCACAACGGAAAGAACUUCACUGUAGUAAGAACCCAUCAAAGUUGACACGAGAACUCCACCGUGUGAAUCCACCUCGACAUUUUGAAGCAACUUGAACCAUCCAAGUUGACCGGGAUAUAACAAUAAUGAAUGAAACCUUAGCUGCAAUGGCAAAGUACUUGGAUCAGCGAGAAUUAUGUCGAUGAAGAAGAAAACUACCGCUCGCUGUCAUCACGAAUGGAGAAGAACAGUGUUUGCCUUGCAAAAGAACCAUCACGUCAAAUGAUCGAAAUGAAGAUUCGACUCAAAAAGACACCGCUCCCCCCCCCACCAGUGCCAAACAACUCACUGCCUAAACUACCUCCUAGCCGGACGACUUAUUCAACUAUCUCCUCUAGAUAUCAAAACCUAUAGAUUUACGCCACUCGGUCCUAGAUAUAUAAUCCCCCAUGGUCACACGACACCAUAGAGGGGCAGUAAUGCUACACGUAUGGAGUUUUUACAAAAGAUUUACACAUUGCUUAUCACUGAUUGGUCGGGAAUUGAUUAAGGCACACGGGCUCACCGCUGAAAUUCAGGGGGGGGGGGGGCAAUUAAAAGAGCUUACAGUACCCAGCCCGUAAAAUCCUGUAGAAUUUGUCCGUAUGUUAAGCAUUCUUGCCAUACAGGGAGAGGAAGAACCAAAACGCUAAUCGUUGCAACUCUCAACUACCUCUCUCGGUGUGUUAAAAAAAACCACCUCUCUCAGUCCAGAACCAGAACCUUUGUUUCUCAUGAGAAACUAGUGUACUUUUGUUUUCUAAUUAACAUCGUAUUUUUAUAGGAGCUUAGUUUUUGUUGAACCAUAAUUCUUACAUGGGUUUGCACAGUUACAUGUCCAUAUAAGGGCCCAAGCUACUCAGUGGCCUACGGGGCCACAUCAAAGCAUUUAUAUCUCGUAAAUUCCAGUCUGAUUGUUCUCUUUAUUGGCCUAUUCUACUGAACUUCUCAUCAAUAAUUGCAUUUAGAUUGGGCUUAACAGCCCAUUCAUACCGUGCGAGAUAUGUCUCGCUUACUGCAAGACGUAGCUCUGAAUCGCCUUUAGUGCGCCGUUGUACUGGGCUGACACAUUACAAUACUUGCUGCACUAUGUUUUUUCUCUGUGUGGUUUUCUUAUUGGUCUUUCAAUAUUUUCAUCAGGUUUCUUCUUUUUUCCUUUUUUUGUUCCCUACUUUCUUCGGUUUUACCGGGUUUCUUCGGUUUGUUUCCUUUUCCCUUUUGGUUUAAUUUUGUAAACACAUGUGUACAUUUUUAAUACACAUUGUACAUUUUUCAUAUACAUUGGGAAUAUAUUUAUACACGUUAUCAUUUUAAAAUACAUAUUUAACCAUUUUUUAAAAUAUAUCUUUGGUUUCUAAGUUUUUUAAUGAUACAAAACAUUUUUUUAAACUACACGAACAUUUUGAAAUGAUCCAAAGUAUUUUUUUUUGAAUUAAAGAAACUUAUUUUACAUUGUAUAAAAAAUUUAAAGUGUUGCAUACCUUUUUUGAAACAUGUGCACAUUUUGUAAAUUUCACUUUUUUAAGCUACUAGCAGUUUGAUAAAAUUAUUAAUCCCUACCCAAAUUAAUUGGCAAUGCCUUAGUACAUUUUCAAUCGGAGUGAGUAACCAAUUUAUUACACUGUAUUGUAAUUUCCCAAAAACAUUACUUUUAAAAUUAUUUUGAUUAUAUUUAAGGUUUGGAAAAUAAAUAUUUACAAUAUUCCGAAAAUAUGAAGUAAAUAAAAGAAAAUCAAGCGAAAACACAGAGGAGGAAAACGAGUUGACCUUCAUGGAGCUACUGGGAUGAUCCAUUAGUGGUGAUGCUGAAGCGUGAAAAGCUCGUGUCUCAGUCCGGGCGAGACACAGCCGCUCCCCAUUUCUAAAAUCAAGAGCAUUCUUUCUCUGCCUUGGACCAUGUGUACUCUCUAACUUUGUUGAAGCCCCGGCCCGUCAAAAGUAAGCAGUCGUCGCAUCUACAUAAAAAAAAGGCAAAUUGUCUUCUCGAGCCAUUUUUAUGCGACCUGGGUCACACAUAGGGCUGCAAGAAGAGCUCAAGGUUCGUGAGCUGGUUGAGUUUGAUUCGUCUUUUGGCUCGACUCGAGAUUGAAAGAAAUGAGCUGCGCAUGAACACUUUAUAUGGCUCGAUUGACAAACGAGCCGAUCUUGAGCUAAUAUUGGCUCGAGUGAUUUUAGCUUGAUAGAUCGAGGUAAUAUAACUAUGUUAAAUGAUCAUGCUAUAUAUUAAAUGGAAAUAAAAUAUUUUAUAACCAUAUAUGAUGUUUUGGAAAAAAAAAUUAUCAGCAAACAUGAAAGUUUAAUUAAGUGCAGAGAAAAUUUAGGCAAUACUAUGGUACAUGAUCAGCUAGGCAUGAAUAUCCUAUUGUUUUUGUCAAAAGUUUCCCAGCAUAUUCACCUUCAUUUUAUGUCUUUCAUCCUAGAUGAGCUCUCCUAAGCACGACGAGAUGGCCGUACCAUCGAUCCAAGUAAGCUUUUUUUACACAUUCACGUCAUCUAAUUAGUAUUAUAGUUUAUAAAUAAAUGAAUGCUAUCUGAAUACGUUUUCUUUUCAAGAUUUGUGUUAUAGUAGGCUGUUUACGUGUAAAAUACUCUUGGACCAGGUGCAAGUUGUAUCUACGAGAUUCUUUCUUGGUUUUACUCUAAGUAAUUUUGUGGUUUUGCAGUUAGCGCAGAUUGAGGUUUGUUCAUUUCAACAUAAUUUUUUAACCAUAAUGUCAUGUUUGAAAUGAUAAACCUAUGUCUACAGAAUCAAGGAUUCAGAUUUAGUGCAUCCUAUAUAUGUGAUUCAGAUUACUAACAUGUUUUUUCAUAGAUAUUUAGUCUUACAUGUAUCACUUUCGAAACGUUUUCCUGUAGAUUCAGAGUGGUAUUAACAGGAACAACUUAUCACUGAUACUUUUCACCUUAAUAGUCAUUCACAAAUGCCUAAUACCUCUGAAUCUCAGAUCCUUUGUAUAAAUUUAUAUUAUCAUCAUCUUGAUUGAAAUAACAUUUUUUAGUGCUUUCUUAUGUCAUAUCUUAGAUUAUAUAUUUUUUGCCGUCUCAUUUAGCUUGAAACUAGCUCGAGAUCAACUCAAGAUCGUUACAAGCUGAGUAAGUUUUACAGAUCGGUCUUGAGUUUCACUCAAUUCGAGUUUGCUUGCAUUUUAAUAUGAGUUGAGCCGAGCCAAGUCCAACACGCUCGAAAUCGACUCAUUUGCAGCCCUACUCACACGCAGCGAUGGCGGGGAGCUCCUAUUGGACGACACUCUUUGCCUCACGGUGUCCAAGUUUCCCACAGAGCUAGCGAUCGAGAGCUUCUGGUGGGCCGGCACGUAAACACAUAGGAGCGCUUCUGGUUUUAGGAACCUUCCAUACAUUUUCCACCCGGUUUUACUUAGUUUCCUGAAUCGGGUUUUUUCUUUUCUUUUUCUGUUAUUUUUUUCGUUUUUCUUUUUCUGUUUAUGUUUUUUCUUUUUUUCCUUUCAAUGUUUUCCCUAUCUGUUCUGUUCGAAAAUUUCAAAUAUUUUUUGAAAGUUUUAAAUAUAUUUCUCGCCCUAAAUUUUUAUUCACAAUUUUUAAGAUAUUAAGGCUUGAAAAUACCUGCAGGAAUUUCAAAACUAAUUCUAGUUUUCAUAAUUUUUUCAAAAUUUCUAAAAAUGUUCUCAUUUUUAAGUUGUGUAGAUAAUUUUCAAAAUUGAUCGUGUUUCAGAAAAUUUCGACACUUUUAGAAACAAUUCCUGUUUUCAAAUUGUUUCACAAUUCCAGGAAAAUGUUCGUGUUUCAAAAAAAUGUUCAUGUCUAAAACAUGUUCAGGAACUUUCGUAAAUUUUAAAAAAAUGAAGUUGAAAACUGUUUGGAACAUUGUUUGUCUUUCCUAAAAAAUUUCGCGUUCACAAAAUGGUUGGAAUGUUUUUUAUAAAUUUCACCAUUUUAUUUAAAAUUGUUCAUAUUUUCAAAAAAUUGUUCAUAUUUUCAUUUUUCAGGAACUUUGAAUAUGCUAAAUGUUUUCUGAUCAAGUGAAAAUUUCACAGAACUCCAAUUUACGAGCAAAGUUUGAUAACGGGAACAUUUUGUAAAAGCAAAAACAUUUUACGAAAUUUAAGAACUGUUUUCCAACAUGAACUUAUUUUAAAGAUAGAACAAAUUUUGAUAUUUCAAACAUUUUUCUAAAAUUGCAAACAAUUUCCGUAAAACUUGAACACAAUUUUGAACUUUGACGGUAUUUUGAAAAGCUAAACAAAUUUUAACAAUUUCCAAUAAAUUCGGGAAUUUUAGAUCAAUUUUCAAAUAUGUUGAACAAUUUUCAUUUUUUUGGAGUUUUUCCUACAAAAAUAAAAUAAAAAAUUCAAAAUUUGUGAAAAUUCCUGAAAUUCUGUUGAAUUAGUGAAAACAUGGCUUUAUUUAUUCGUGAACAUAUUUGCAAAGUGAAAACAGAACAUUUUUAAAAUAUUUGAACAAUAAUUCAAAGGCAUACAUUUGUUUAGAUCCCAGAAAGAUUUUGUUAUUUUGAGAAUAAAUUUUCAAAACAUGAACAUUUUUUGAAUUCGCAAACGAAUUUGAAAAGUGGGUAGAUCUUUUGAAAUUCCCAAACAUUUUCUGAAUUUAUGAACAAAAAUUAAAAUGCAAACAUUUUUUAAAUUUGAAAUUCUAAAUUUUUUGAAUUUUCCAAUAGUUCUUCUAUGUUAGAAAAGAUGUAUUUCAAAUUCUAAUUUCUUUGGAAAAUUUUUACAAUAUUUCAAAACGGGAAUACUUUCAAAAAAAUGAACAAAGUUCUUAAAUUGCCAACAUUUUUUAGAAAUUCUAAAGAUUUGUUGAAAAAUAAAAGUGAAAAUGAAAUUUACAAGGAAGGCAAAGAAAAACGAAACAACAAAAAUAAAAGUGAAAAAGUAAAGAAAACGAAAAAGGAUAGAAAAGAAAAAAGAGAAAUAAACAUAAAAAGAGAUAAAAACCGGCUCGCUGGAACUGGGCUGGCCCAUCUAUCAUAGUUACCAUCCUGGUCCUAUGCGAAUCGCCGACAACUCGUCGCAACAAGCAGCGAAAAGGGUUUUUCAUGAUUAUAAAAACCGCUCCAUGGGAAACCACAUGCAACGAUGCAAAUAUAUAGCUCUAUUAAUCAGAACCAGCAGCUACUACAUGGAAUGCACAACCAAGCAUCAUGAUAGACGUUUUCAAACUGACUAAUAAUAUACACCCUCCGUCUCGUAAUAUAAGAGCAUUUUUUACACUACACUGGUAUAAAAAUUGUUCUUAUAUUAUGGGACAUCUAUACUCCUAUAUAGUGUACCAGUACUGGGAGAUGUAGACCGUUGGAUCUUUGUAAUCUAACGGCUCGCCGUCAAUUGAUUAACAUAGAGGGCUGCGUGGCCAUACAUCGACAGUUGGAUAGACUAAUCUAACGGCUGACAGUGCAGGGAUUCGCGGUGUGGCACAUCCUUUGCUUCCAGACUACCACCAUUUGUGUGUGACAAAGCUACAUGAAAGUUCAUGAUACUGCCACUGCCACCUAGAAAUCUUUGGUAGGCUCCAGUAAGAAUGCUGCACUGCUGCCCUACAUGCUACAAUACUACUACUAGCAAGCUAUUCCACCAGGACCAAGUACUCCGAGAGUACUACAACUGCUACACGUGAUGAGAGAUGGGGAAAAGUGCAUGCAGCACUGCAGUCUUAGCGAUGCAGAAAUUAGUAAAUCAUCAGAUGCUUAAUACUACCUAUUCAUUAGCUUAUUUUUUCAUCUAACAAAGUCCAUACACGUGCACACGUACAAUUCAUAGGUUUGUCUGGUUAUGGAUAACAAACACAAGGAAAAAUAAAAGUUUAAUAUCUCACGUGAAAAAAAGAUAGUUAAGCGUAAUAUGUGUUGUAAUUAAAGGCUAUUACUUUAUUUUAUUAUAAAUUCGUUUUACAAAUAUGAUCCAGGUUUUUUCAUUGUUUCAACCAGUAAUCGUUAAAUCCACGUGCUACUAAUAGUGAGUAAUAGACAAGUUAAUUGGAAGAUCCGUAAAGAAUAGGAGCCAACAAUAUAUUUUUUCGAACAUCGGGGACUUUCUCUUUAAUUAAUAACCAUAUCUUUUAUAAUAAGUGGAAUCAUGAAAUCAGGGGUUUAUCAUGCCGCACCCUUGACUCCUGACCCAAAAAACUAAAACAAGCAAUAGCAUACGCACACUCGUUUACAUCAUGCACACAACGAUUUAUUGACGCCUUGCCAAAAGAACAUGUGAAACUUCAACAAUCAUCAGUAAUUACCGCACCUAACGCUCGAUAGUCGUCCAACAACCAUGCAUGUGAGCAUGUAACACCUGUUCGGGCUAAUUGCACGGUGAUGGCUGCGAACCGAUCAUGUGGACUAGCAAGAGAAUGUAAAGUAGGAAUUUCAUUAGUCAAGGAAACUACAACUAUUUGAAAUGACACAGAAACCUUUUUCGGGAACAUAAGAAAAUGCCUUGUUUAGAUAGAACAGUACAACUAUAAUUUUACAAAAAGAAUCUUGCAAGAUAGAAAAAACACAACCCCUUACUCCAACAAGUUGUUGUCAUCGAGCCUGCAUCGUAAAGAACGCCGUCCCAAUAAGGAAUCAUCAACGCUGCCAUGAAGACUCGACCAAGGGAUCCUCCUCGAGGAUACUAAAGCCUCUUGACCCAUAUGAUGAUAGUGCCAUAGCCCAUGGAUUAUCUUCCAGCGCACCCGCCAGAUUGCCCAUAGGGUAUCAACUAUUUUCGUGAAACCAACAUGCACUAGAUUCUCCAUCACUCGAAAUAACCAAAGCUUCAGAUCGUUCAUCUCAUCUACCACCAUAUGAUCCAAUAUCUCCUCAUCAAAAAAAGCUUACCACAACAUGACAUAGUGCAAUUCAACAACAAAUGACAUCGUGAAUUACCGACCGCCUAAUACACAAAGAUUAUUCAUCUCAUCUACCGACUGCCUAACACAUAAAGAUUAUUAAGCCACCCCUGCUAGUGACGAACAUUUGCUACUGGGGAUGAUGAUCUUGUGAGUCUUUAAAGCUUGACAUUUUUUGAGAAUAGCCUGUAACUUUACUCUCAAGCUCGACAAAAGUUACACAUACAAUGCUUCGGCUCAUUGAUCCGAGAACUUACAAAGUAAUUCCUAUAAUUAAGGACUACAAUGAAAUUUAUCAGAUGCGUCUUCCAUGUGUAUCAUUUUUUGCUGCACAAAAUACUAUCAGGGCUUCUGUAAAGAUAAUGCAGUCAAAUCAAAGCAGCGACACUGCCACUCGUACACAUGUGCGAGAAUUGACUACCUUCAUAGGUUUCAAAACUGCCCAUUGAAAAGGUUGGAAGCCAUGAUCGUUGAAUGUAUUUCGGACGUGGAUGGUCCACUAGAGGUACAGGUUGUCGACCCAUAAUAUCUUUAAAAGAACGUCAAAGAAGGACUUGAAAGUCUCAAAAAUUACACCAAGAGAAGCACCAGAAAACAUAAAAUCCGCAUGGUCAAAUCCACAUGGUCAAAUAAACCAAGCCCGCACAGACACAAACUAUCCGGCUUCAUGGCGCCUUUCGAUAACACUGCACCACAACGGGAGAAAAUUCAUAUUAGCUUUAUUCUUUACGGCAUUGCACCCUCCACCAGGACAUUGUCGACGAAGGCCAUAGAAAUCGCCGUUUUUUUGAAUAAACUCAGAAAGAUCCAAUACCCCCCUUGCCACGCAACACGAUGGCCGAAGGCGAAGGGGACACACAAAGUCCGUGGUGGUUGCCUCCUAAAACCCUAGCUUCUCAUGUGACUAGGUCUCUUUUAAAGCUUGGCAUUUAUGAGCUUAGUUCGUGUUGAGCCAUACUUCUUACUUGGGUUGUUGGCUACUACAUGUGCUAUGUCUUGCCAACCCUGAGAGGAUAUAGCGCUCGAUACUAGUAGUGGUAUCAUUCAUCUGUUUUUGAGUUGUUUUAAGAUACUUCCUGUCUAGUGGGGCCAAUGUUUGAACCCUUCGUCCUGUUUUGGAAGGGUUCUAUUUCAAGUAUUUUUUUUUCCUUUUAAUUUACAGUUCUAUCGGUUUUCUUUAGAGUUUUCGUUUGCUUUCUUCUAUUUUAAAUAUUUAUUUUACUUUAUAAGUACAUGAUCUUUUUAAAAUUCUUUUACAUGUUACGAAGAUUUCACAAUCAUUGUGUGAAUAUAUUUUUACAUGUUUAUGAAAAUUCCUAAAAUGUUAUAAAAAACAUUUUGAAUGGCACAAUUUUCUUAAUGUUGCCUGAAAAACAAAUCAUUAAUUAUAGAAAUGCUAUGAACUUUGUGAAAAAAUCAUAAACAUAUUUUUAGAUGUUAUGAGCAUUUGUUUGGAGUGGUAUAUUAUUUUUCAGAAAUACACGAUGAAGAUCAUGAAAAAUGAUAAAAAAUAAAAUAGAUAAUAAACAUUUUGAAUAGAUGGCGGAUCCUUGUAAGCAUGACAAGAUUUUUUCAUAUACACAAUGAACAUUUUCUAACAAACAUUGGAUUAUUUCUUAACGUGGGGUCAACAAAUUGAAUGUGUGUCAAAAGAAUAAUAAAAGUAAGUAAAAUAGCAUAUUUUCCAAUAAUAUUUGUCUCUAUGUUUCAUAAAAGAGAGGAAAAAUGGAAACACAAGGUGUGAAAAGAAUGAAGGAAAAAAAUUCUUCUUCUUAUUAUUNNNNNNNNNNUAUUAUUGAUUACGGAAACCAAACAUGCAUAUAUCCACUAGCUUUUUUUUUUGAGGGGUGCAUAUAUCCACUAGCUAAAUGCAGCCUGGCUCAACUAGAAGACCACUGCAGCCGAUGCCUUUCUACCAUGAGCCUGGCCCAUGCCCCUGACCUUCACAUUAGCAUUUACAUUGUGCUUUCUGGCCUAUUCUGCAAAAACCCUAUUCGCGGCUCUCUGCGACAAAUUAUCGAGCGACACCAGCGACUAAAUGGCAAGGGGCCGUUGCACGUUUCACUGAUCCCGGUUUCGGCAGCUUUCUAGAAGGUUCCCAACCGUUUCAGGUCUGGUUUUCCUUUUUAUUUUUUCCUGCUGUUUCUUUUAUUGUUUUCUUCGAUUUUUCGUUCCCUUUAUUAUUAUUAUUUUCUGUUAUUUGGUUAUAUGUUUCAUCUCUGGAUACCUUUUUUUCGUUACCAAUUUUGAGAAUGUUUUUUACAUGGUCAGAAUUUCAAAUUGUUUAGGAAUUUCUAAUUUUGUUAACGUUUUGAAAAAAUAAUUAAAUUUUCAUAUUUUGUUCCCUUCUAUUCAAAAAAUGUUCGGAUAUUUGAAAUUAAGUUCGUGUUCUGAAAACAAAUGUUAAUUUUUCAUAUUUUGUCACCUUCUAUUCAUGAAUGUUUGAGAAUUUCAAUUUUUUCACAUUCUAAGAAUUGUUCAAAUUUUGUUCUCUUGUAUUCAAAAAAUGUUCAGAUUUUUCAAAUUUUGUUCGUGUGUUGGAUUUUAUAAAUUUUGUUCCCUUAUAUUAAAAUUGUUUUCGGAAUUGAAAAUCUUGCUCAUGUUUCGAAAAAUGUUAAAUUAUUCUUAACUUCUAUUAAAAAUAUGCUUGAAGAUUUCAAUUUUUUUGUGUGUUUUGUAAACUUGUUCAAAAUUUCAAUUUUUGUUCCUUUAUAUUCCAAAAAUAUUUGGGAGUUUCAAAUUUUGUUUGUGUUUAUAAAAGGUGUUACUAAUUUUAGAAAAAAUGUUUUUCAAAAAAUGUUUGGGAUUUCAAAUUUUUUCACGCUUUUAGAAAAGUUCCCAAUUUUGAAAAUUAAUCAUUUUUCCAGAAAAAUCAGGUAUUCCAACUUUUAUUCGGUUUCUGAAAAUGUUCAGAAUUUUGAAAAUUAUUCACUUUUUCCAAAAAAUGUUCAGGAUUUUCAAGUUAUAUUCUCCUUUAAAGAAAAUUUACAGAAUUUAAAAAAUUGUUCACUCUUUUAAAAUAUGUUCAAAUACUCAAAAGUUGUUUAGUUCGUAUAAUUGUUCACUAGUUUCAAGAACAUUUGACAUUUUAAAAUUUGCUCACUUUUUACAGAAAAUGUUCAAAACAUUUCAAAAAGUUGUUGAAUUUUUUUUAAAAACAAGUUUAUAAAUUUGUUAUCGUUUCUCAAAAAUGUUCUCCAAUUUAAAAUAUGUUCGUGGUUCCAAUUUUUUGUUCAAAAUUUGAUCAAAAGUUCUAUUUUCCAGCUUUUGUUCAGAAAUUCAAAAACUGAUCAUACUUACAAUUUUUUAUUCCGAACUUCUUGAAAUGUUCCACUUUUUGAAAUAAAUUUUCAGAAAUUCAAAAAAUGGUCACGCUUUCAAAAUUUCAUUAUUUGUUCACAUAUUCUUGUUGGUGAAAAAUUGUUCAGAAACUCAAAAAAUACUUGCACAUUUUCAAAUAUACUCUUUCGAAAAAGAGUAGACUUUUUGAAAUAAACUAUCACCAUAGUAACUAAUUCUAGUUCGCCACAAUAUUUAAUUCAAAUUUGCUAUAGUCGAGCAGCCCGGGUUUACACUACGUUAAUAAUUUAGGUCGCGCGGUGCAAUACUAACAAAAAAAUUGUCUCGUGGAGUGGCUAUGAGCUCGCAAUUGGAAGCAGGAGGUCUAAUUUUCGAAUCCUCACAUCGUGCUGCCCUCGAAUUUUGCUAUAUUUUUUCGUCUCGUGGUACAGGUUGAUCGGUUGGCCUAGUCGUGUUGUCUCCUAUGUGUGGCGCCGCUAAUUUGACGGAAAGAGCGUAAAAUAGGAGGUCCCCCUAUUAUGUGUUCACAACCGUGGUGGCUGCUUGAAGGUUGUCUAUAGAAGAAAGCUCUCUUGAAGGUGGAGUCCAUCAACAACAACAAAAAACUACGAAACAACCAUCAAAUAGACACAUGAUAAAAAGGCUAGAUGUUUUUUUCUCGGACACGAUACACACGUGGUUUUUAGGACAUAAUCACUCGGGACCCGCCCCCUCCAUUGGGGCAUGCGGGAGAUGGGGCGCAGCCGGCACCGGAUGCUGUCGGUGCAGUCGCUGCCUCUACGCCGCUUUCGGGUGAGGCCUUGGAUGCAGUUUGGGCUCUCGCCGGGGUCUCUCUGGCUGAUGCCAAGGCGGCUGCUGUGCGGAAUGCAGGCUUUGAUAAAGCUAGUAAAGAUCUGAUGGGGAGAGAGCCACGAAGUGGGCUAGGAAGAAAGAAAAGAUGACGUGAUACCGGUGCGGAGGGCAUUUUGUGGUUGAGUGCUCGGCAGAGCUAUGUGACAUUUGCCAUAAGCCGAAGCAUGAGAAGGGAGAGUGCCCUUUGCUCCUAAGGCCGAAGCCGGUGGUCACGAUCUAUGGGGCUUGUUGUCUAGAGCUUAUGUUCUUUGAAUCUCCUCGCUCGACUUCGACCACGCCGUCUCUGGAGAGUGCGCGGACGGGGGUUGUUAGGGUGACUCGUGGAUCGAUGACUUCGGAUCAGGUUGUUAGGAUGACUCGUGGAUCCAGUCAGGCUUGACGAGCAUCUAUUGAGAGCGGAUUUUCCUACUAAGGAAGAUCUUGCGAGGUUGCUGAAAUUUGGGAUGAGCAAGGUGCCAAACAACACUUGUGUUCUUGAGUUUGAGCCCGAGGGAACUCCUUUUUCUCAGCUGUGGGUAAGGUUUCUAGGUGCUCCGCGUACAGCGAUAGAUGAUUUUUUGGUGACUUGGAGUCUUGGUUCUCUGAUUGGUAAAACAGAGAAGGUGGAUAUGCCUUUCACUCAUGCACAGGGGGUAGCUCGCCUGGUGGUUAGUGUGACUAGCAUUGAGCAUAUUCCACACACUGUGAGAUGGGCUUAUGAUGGCAGGAGUUUUGACUUGGAUAUUGAGAUAGAGGAAAGUACUCUCUUCUAGGAGUUGGUUGAACAUAUCGAUAUGGAUACGGAGGAUGGUAACAACGGAGAUGGGAAACGGGAUGGUGGGUAAAAAAUGGGGAUGAUACUGACAGCGGUAAAAAGUGGUGGCAGCGCGUGCUCCACCGAAUCAUCCAUCUCCAUCGUGACACCACACAGUCACCCGCGCGCGGAGCCAGACGCGAAAGACCCAAAUCUCAACUGAUUCGAAGGGGUGGAAGUAUGUGCCUGCUCCUUCGUAGAGCCAGUCACUCCGGGGGCUUUUGCGAUGCCAGAGUCACCCACUCGGCCCUUGUUGGAGGAGACAUCGCCGAGGACGAUCCUGAGAUCCGGGGACCGGAGUCAGGAACAUUCGGCGGCUUCACAUGAGACGGCGGCAUCUAGGCAGCAUGGUGCUGUUGCAGUUACUUCUUCCCCCAAUGGGUACUUUGGGACUUCGAAAGUGGUUGGGAAGCUGGCAGGUGGCCAUACCGCAAUGGCUUCGACGACACCUUUCUCUGCUCGGGGCGUCGCUAGUGACCCUAGCCAGAUAGGGGCAUGGCUGCUGGGAGCGACCGAGGUGGGCAUGACUGCUUUGUCGGUCACACGAUAGAUGAUCGUGCGUCUCCUGGCAUUAUGCAUUCGAGCCCCAUCGGAUAGGAGUCACAAGGUCACCGUCUGCAUGUGCAUACCACCAAGGAGAUUAUCACCUUCGGAGGGUUCCCUGACCGGGCGACAAGAGAGAGGCGGACGAGUAGCCGUCUCCAGGCUCAGCCGGAUGUCGAUGAUCUUCACAUGGGUUGUGCCAUGCGGACGGCUAAGCUUCGUGACAUUGAGGCAACUACAGGUAUGUCGGUUAAUAGUAUGUCGGUUAAUACGAAUUGUUCUAUCUUGCAUUUCUCUGAUGAUGAUGUUAUUUUAAAUGCAAACCGACUAGGGGUGUCGCUGGGUAACAAUGGGAAGGAAUUUUCGAAAUGUGUGAAUGAUAUUUUAGACUUAGAGGCUGAGAGAGCUAUGGAGAUGCUUAGGAAUAUUGCUUCAGUCAAACCUAUGAAUGGUUCUGAUAUUAAUGCUCUAGGGAUGGUGGCAUUAGAGGGUCUAUGUGAGGACCUCGUGCCAACGUCACCGAUAUGUGAAGAAGGUAACGAUAUCGGUUCAGAGGGUUAUAUGGACUCUCCGCAACCUAAUGUUUGCGCAGAGUCUGGGACUGGUUAUAUGGGCCGGUUGGCUGAACAGGAUAAGCCAAAACACACCUCGAAGGGAAAGGUUUAUCCUGAAUCUACGGUUCGUAGAAACGCAAGACUUAAGACUGCAAAAAAAAAUUGAUGACACAUGAAAGGAAUAUUUUUAAACAGCAUAGGUCUAGCAGACUUGGCUAAAGAAGAUUUUUAGCGAAAGCGACAAUUGAUCCCAAACUAGACUUUAUUGUCCUAAUGGAAAUCGGUAGAGAUAACUUUACGUCACAAUUUCUUAGUACUCUCUCCGGUGGUGUUGAGUUUGAUUGGCAUUGUCUAACGCGAAGAGGAAGGUCCGGUGGAAUCUUACUUGGGGUAAGGUGCGAGUCACUUGAAGUCGAGAACGUAGUGUACAGGAACUUCGGUGUGAAAUUUAGACUGUGCUCGAAGGAGGACGGCUUCCAAUGGGCACUUGUGGCAGUAUAUGGUGCCGCCCAGCCAGAGUUGAAGAUAAGCUUCCUAGCUGACCUUGUCUGGAUUUGUGGGAUGGGCGGCUACCGAUUUUAGUUGGGGGUGACUUCAAUAUCUUUCAGUGUAGGGAGGAAAAGAAUAAUGACAACUUUGGUGGAAGAUGGUCAUUUAUGUUUAACACAAUUACCGAAAGCUUGUGCAAGAGAUUGAGCUCUCAGGCAGAAAAUUUACUUAGGCCAAUGCCUUGCCCAAUCCAACAUUUGAGAAAUUGGAUCGAAUUCUCACUGGUGUGGAGUGGGAGCAGAAAUACCCUCUCAUAACAGCACGAGCGUUGCCGUGAGCGAUUUAUGACCAUACCGCAUUUCUUGUUGACUCGGGUGAUGCAACACAUGCGGGUAACAAGAAUACUUUCUCUUUUGAGCUAGCUCAGUUUGAGAGAGAAGGCUUUCUGGACCUAAUAGCUAGAGAAUUGGCUAAGGUCACAGCGGGGGUAUCUAAUGUGGACCGAUGGCAAAAUAGAAUAAGGCAGGUGAGGUAAUUCCUAAGAGGUUGGGCUAAGCACGAGAGCGACAAAUAUAAAAAGGAGAAAGAAAGACUUCUCGAUCUUAUUAAUCGGUUAGAUUUAAAAGUCGAAUCACGCUGUUCGAUGACAACGGAAGGUCAUCUAGAGCACAGGCUGAGAAUAUUCUUACACAACUUCUUAGAGAAUAAGAUUUGAAAUGGCUCUUAGAGUGAAAGUUCGACGGGUUGUUUACGGUGAUGACAACACGAAGUAUUUCCGUCUCAUUGCGAAUGGAAAACACAGAAAGUAAUUUUUUUUACCAACUUGAGGAAGACGAGGGUACGAUUUUUGGACAUGAAAGUUUAAAGUUGUAUAUCUCUGAAUACUAUAAGCAACUCUUCCGGGAGCCUGAUGACAACUUCGUAUCCAUGGAUGAGCAGACAGUCGGUGAUAUUUAUCAGCUCGGGAACAACAAGAAUGCGAUAUUAACCACACCAUUUUCGGAGAAAGAGGUGUUUGAGGCUAUUUCACAAAUGAAAAACAAUAAGGCACCAGGACCAUAUGGAUUUCCGACUCAGUUUUAUAAGAGAUGUUGGCACGUUAUUAAAGGUGAGUUACUACCGAUAUUUCAGGACUUGUUCAAUGGCCAACUCCAGCUUUUCCAUCUUAACUUUGGAACAAUUAUGUUGUUGCCAAAGAAGGAGGGGACGUUGCACAUUGAAGAAUUUUGACCUAUUUGCUUGCUUAAUGUGAGCUUCUGUUUUUUUGGAAAGGUUGGUACAAAUAGAUUGUCGCAAAUUGAUCAUGCAGUGGUGCAACCUAGUCAGACGGCUUUCAUGCCGGACAUAAACAUACUAGAGGGUGUGGUUGUCCUACAUGAAACAUUGCAUGAAAUCCACUCAAAGAAACUAGAUGGGGUUAUCUUGAAGGUGGAUUUUGAGAAAUCUUAUGAUAAGGUUAAAUAGCCUUUCCUUCAACAAGCCUUACGUAUGAAGAAGGGAUUUGACAAGGUUUGGAGGAAACACGUUGAAUCAUUUAUACAAAAAGGUAACGUUGGAAUUAAAUUUAAUGAUGAUAUGAGUCAUUACUUUAAAACGCACAAAGGUCUUCGGCAGGGAGACCCAAUGUCUCCCAUCCUAUUCAAUGUGGUUGCAUAUAUGUUGGCAAUUCUAAUAGGAAGGGCUAAAGAGGAAGGCGAGGUAGGUGGACUCGUUCCACAUCUAGUGUAUGGUGGGGUGCUAUCCUACAAUAUGCUGAUGGCACUAUCUUGUUCGUGGAACAUGAUUUGGCAAAAGCGAGAAAUAUGAAACUUAUUCCGUGCUUAUUCAAACGGUUGUCAGGCUUGAAAACUAUUUUUCACAAGAGUGAUCUGUUCUGCUUUGGGAGAGCCAAAUAUGAACAAGGUAUAUAUAAACAACUGUUUGGAUGUGAACUGGGAAGUCUACCAUUUAGUUAUCUAGGCAUACCAAUUCAUCACCGUAAGUUAUCAAACAAAGAGUGAAAAUGUGUUGAGGAUCGAUUUGACAAAAAACUAAGCUGCUGGAAGACUAAGCUUUUGUCAUAUGGAGGUCGGCUCAUACUGAUUAAUUAGGUUCUAACGAGCAAGUCGAUGUUCCUUCUGUCCUUCUUUGAGGUAUCGGUAGGGGUACGGAAAAGAUUGAACUCUUAUCGAUCCCGCUUUUUCUGGCAGAGUGACGAAGUUAAGAAGAAAUACAUGCUUGCUAGGUGGGAUAUUGUUUGCAGACCGAAGGACGAGGGUGGUUUGGGAAUUGAGAAUUUAGAGGUUAAGAACAUAUGUGUGCUAAGCAAAUGGUUGUUCAAUUAUCUAUGGAGGCAGAAGGUAUGUGGGUACAAAUUUUGCGUAAUAAGUACUUACAAUCUAAAACCUUGGCCCAGGUAACAGUUAGACUCAAUGAUUCACCUUUCUGGAAAGGCUUGAUGAAGAUAAAACCGGGUUUCUUCCACAAAGCUAAAUUUAUCAUUGGAGAUGGAAAGUCUACAAGAUUCUGGGAGGAUACGUGGUUGGGGGCGACGCCUCUGGCCAUACAGUAUCCAUCUCUCUAUAAUAUUGUUCAACGUAAGGAGGCUUAUGUUGCCUGAGUAUUACAGUCAAUUCCGACGAGUUUUAGUAGUUUAUAGGUGGGAGGCUUGAUUACACCUAGUCACAAGACUCAUGGAUGUCCAGCUAUCGGAUGAGCCCGAUAGGCUUCAUUGAAAGCUAACACCUAAUGGCAUCUUUACUAUCAAAUCAAUGUAUUUGAGCCUUAUUGACACAACACCAAUACCUAAGUCCAAUCAUAUUUGGAAGGUGAAAGUGCCCUUGCACUUCAAAGAUUUCAUGUGGUUUGUCCACGAGAAGGUGAUUCUUACUAGGGAUAAUUUGGCAAACCGAAAUUGGGAGGGAAGUAAAAGAUGUAGCUUCUGUGACCAUGAUGAGACUAUCAAACACUUUUUUCUCCAAUGUCCGCUCGCAAGAAUUCUAUAACAAACAGUUCGUAUAUCCUUUAAUAUCACACCUCCGUAUAGCAUUGAUAUGUUGUUUGGGAUGUGGCUAAAUGGGGUUGACAUAACUUUUGCUAAACAUAUUCGUGUAGGAGUAUGUGCAUUGCUUUGGGCUAUAUGGAACCGCAGGAAUGACGUAACUUUUAACACACAAACAAAUGUUAAUUUCUUGCAGGUACUCCACAGGAUAUCGGCGUUGAUCCGUACAUGGUCGUUACUCACUCUUGUGGAAACCAGGGAACCUUUAAUUACUGGGUCUAUCCGGUGGGAGAUGGUAGCUCGGGAUAUCUACAACCAGUUUGGAUGGCGGUCCGGUAAUAGGAUAGAUGUUUAGGCAUCUAGGCUUAUGUUCGUCGGUUGUGGCAUCUUUUUGUAGACUUUUCAUUAUUGUGUUGCUCGUUUUGAGCUUGUUCGGAAAUCCUGGAUGUUUGUUACUUGUCCUUAAUAAAGUGGUUGCAUACAUCGUAAUGAUGCAGAGGCCGGAGGGAAUCCUCCUUUUCGAAAAAGCUGAUUUUCAGAAAAAUGGCAGUGAAGCUAGCAACACGGCUUGGCACAACGAGUUGCCGCCGAUAGCUUUGCUUCUUUUUCGAUCUAAACAUAACUGAAAGCUAAAGAUCAAGGCUUUUCCUUUGGACCCACACAAACCAGCGAGAGAAUAUACAAAAAAUGCGGGAAUAGAGAAGAAGAGAAGUGAACGGCUAUAAGCUCAUAGAUGAGCGAAAAUGGGGAUCAACCUCGAAGUUAGCCGCGAAACAACUUGUGAUUGUAUCGCUUGAGGGACAAUGAUAUUUCUAGCCGAUAAGAGCAUCUCUAGCACACCCCGUAUAAAGCCGAUCCGCAAAAGUCGUUUACAGUUCGCGAAAAACGGGUUUUGAGGGCUGACGCGGAUGCGGACAGAGGCAGAUCCCCAAAACGGACUCGUAAAAAACGAUAUUCACGGACGAUGCUUUUAUACGGGUCGGCAAUGUGGGGUCUGCUCAGGCGCCGCCGCGUCGACCCGCAAACCAAAAAACCUCCCAAUAAAACAUAGUUUGAAUUUGAUAGCGAUUUCGGCAAAUGAGUUCGAAUUUAAACAAUAAAACAUAGUCCGUGCGUGAAAUGAAAGCAUAAUUUAAAGGACAAACGCAAAAGGACUUCAUGCAUCCUGGUCGCUCUUCACUCCGCACCAUCGAGUUCAUCGCCGCCCCCGAUUCCAUCGACUCCCCGAAUCAAUCGCCGACACUUGUUCCUACUCCGCCACUUGUCCCUACUUCGGCACCGAAAUCAUCAGCAAUAUUGGUUCUGAUUCGAGAUGAGAAAACAUUGCCGCCAUUGUAACACGCAAGCAUCCUCCUCUUCAAGAUUUCUCUCCUUGUCAUACAUGCCAUUUUUUGGUGAUGUCUGUUGGAAUUAUGCCCUAGAGGCAAUAAUAAAUGUAUAGUUAUUAUUAUAAUUCCUGUAUCAAGAUAAUAGUUUAUUAUCCAUGCUAUAAUUGUAUUGAAUGAAGACUCAUUUACAUGUGUGGAUACAUAGACAAAACACCGUCCCUAGCAUGCCUCUAGUUGGCUAGCCAGUUGAUCAAUGAUAGUCAGUGUCUUCUGAUUAUGAACAAGGUGUUGUUGCUUUAUAACUGGAUCACGUCAUUGGGAGAAUCACGUGAUGGACUAGACCCAAACUAAUAGACGUAGCAUGUUGAUCGUGUCAUUUUGUUGCUACUGUUUUCUGUGUGUCAAGUAUUUAUUCCUAUGACCAUGAGAUCAUAUAACUCACUGACACCGGAGGAAUGCUUUGUGUGUAUCAAACGUCGCAACGUAACUGGGUGACUAUAAAGAUGCUCUACAGGUAUCUCCGAAGGUGUUAGUUGAGUUAGUAUGCAUCAAGACUGAGAUUUGUCACUCCGUGUGACGGAGAGGUAUCUCGGGGCCCACUCGGUAAUACAACAUCACACACAAGCCUUGCAAGCAAUGUAACUUAGUGUAAGUUACGGGAUCUUGUAUUACGGAAUGAGUAAAGAGACUUGCCGGUAAACGAGAUUGAAAUAGGUAUGCGGAUACUGACGAUCGAAUCUCGGGCAAGUAACAUACCGAAGGACAAAGGGAAUGACAUACGGGAUUAUACGAAUCCUUGGCACUGAGGUUCAAACGAUAAGAUCUUCGUAGAAUAUGUAGGAUCCAAUAUGGGCAUCCAGGUCCCGCUAUUGGAUAUUGACCGAGGAGUCUCUCGGGUCAUGUCUACAUAGUUCUCGAACCCGCAGGGUCUGCACACUUAAGGUUCGACGUUGUUUUAUGCGUAUUUGAGUUAUAUGGUUGGUUACCGAAUGUUGUUCGGAGUCCCGGAUGAGAUCACGGACGUCACGAGGGUUUCCGGAAUGGUUCGGAAACGAAGAUUGAUAUAUAGGAUGACCUCAUUUGAUUACCGGAAGGUUUUCGGAGUUACCGGGAAUGUACCGGGAAUGACGAAUGGGUUCCGGGAGUUCACCGGGGGGGCAACCCACCCCGGGGAAGCCCAUAGGCAUUGGGGGAGCCACACCAGCCCUUAGUGGGCUGGUGGGACAGCCCACAAGUGCCCAAUGCACCAAGAGAAGAAAAAUCAAGAGGAAAGGCAAAAAAAGGAAGGAGGUGGGAAGGAAGGGGGACUCCUCCCACCAAACCAAGUCCAACUCGGUUUGGGGGGGAAGUCCUCCCCCCCUUUGGCUCGGCCGACUCCUUGGGGGUCCUUGGACCCCAAGGCAGGGCCCCCUCUCUCCCACCUAUAUAUACGGAGGUUUUAGGGCUGAUUUGAGACGAUUUUUCUCACGGCUGCCCGACCACAUACCUCCACGGUUUUUCCUCUAGAUCGCGUUUCUGCGGAGCUCGGGCGGAGCCCUGCUGAGACAAGGUCAUCACCAACCUCCGGAGCGCCGUCAUGCUGCCGGAGAACUCUUCUACCUCUCCGUCUCUCUUGCUAGAUCAAGAAGGCCGAGAUCAUCGUCGAGCUGUACGUGUGCUGAACGCGGAGGUGCCGUCUGUUCGGUACUAGAUCGUGGGACUGAUCGCGGGAUUGUUCGCGGGGUGGAUCGAGGGACGUGAGGACGUUCCACUACAUCAACCGCGUUCACUAACGCUUCUGCUGUACGAUCUACAAGGGUACGUAGAUCACUCAUCCCCUCUCGUAGAUGGACAUCACAAUGAUAGGUCUUCGUGCGCGUAGGAAAAUUUUUGUUUCCCAUGCGACGUUCCCCAAAAGUGGCAUCAUGAGCCAGGUUCAUGCGUAGAUGUCUUCUCGAGUAGAACACAAAAGUUUUUGUGGGCGGUGAUGUGCGUUUUGCUGCCCUCCUUAGUCUUUUCUUGAUUCCGCGGUAUUGUUGGAUUGAAGCGGCUUGGACCGACAUUACUCGUACGCUUACGAGAGACUGGUUUCAUCGUUACGAGUAACCCCCUUUGCUCAAAGAUGACUGGCAAGUGACGGUUUCUCCAACUUUAGUUGAAUCGGAUUUGACCGAGGAGGUCCUUGGAUGAGGUUAAAUAGCAACUCAUAUAUCUCCGUUGUGGUGUUUGCGUAAGUAAGAUGCGAUCCUACUAGAUACCCUUGGUCACCACGUAAAACAUGCAACAACAAAAUUAGAGGACGUCUAACUUGUUUUUGCAGGGUAUGAUUGUGAUGUGAUAUGGCUAAUGAUGUGAUGUGAUAUAUUGGAUGUAUGAGAUGAUCAUGUUGUAAUAGAAAUAUCGACUUGCACAUCGAUGGUACGGCAACCGGCAGGAGCCAUAGGGUUGUCUUUAUACUAACGUUUGUGCUUGCAGAUGCGUUUACUAUUUUGCUAGGAUGUAGCUUUAGUAGUAAUAGCAUGAGUAGCACGACAACCCCGGUGGCAACACGUUGAUGGAGAUCAUGGCGUGGCGCUGGUGACAAGAAGAUCGUGCCGGUGCUUUGGUGAUGGAGAUCAAGAAGCACGUGAUGAUGGCCAUAUCAUGUCACUUAUGAAUUGCAUGUGAUGUUAAUCCUUUUUUGCACCUUAUUUUGCUUAGAACGACGGUAGCAUUAUGAGGUGAUCUCUCACUAAAAUUUCAAGACGAAAUUGUGUUCUCCCCGACUGUGCACCGUUGCUACAGUUCGUCGUUUCGAGACACCACGUGAUGAUCGGGUGUGAUAGACUCAACGUUCACAUACAACGGGUGCAAAACAGUUGCGCACGCGGAACACUCGGGUUAAGCUUGAUGAGCCUAUCAUGUGCAGACAUGGCCUCGGAACACAUGAGACCGAAAGGUCGAUCAUGAAUCAUAUAGAUGAUAUGAUUAGCAUAGGGAUGCUUACCACUGAAACUAUGCUCAACUCACGUGAUGAUCGGACUUGAGCUAGUGUAAGUGGAUCAUGAACCACCCAAAUGACUAGAGAGAUGUACUUUUUGAGUGGGAGUUUAGCGAAUAAUUUGAUUAAGUUAAACUCUAAUUAUCUUGAACAUAGUCUAAGUCCACUUUGAAUAUAUUUGUUGUAGAUCAUGGCUCACGCGAGUGUCAUCCUGAAUUUUAAUACAUUCCUAGAGAAAGCUAAGUUGAAAGAUGAUGGAAGCAACUUUGUAGACUGGACUCGUAAUCUUAAGCUAAUCUUACAAGCUGGGAAGAAGGAUUAUGUCCUUAAUGCUGCGCUAGGAGAUGAACCACCCGCUACGGCUGAUCAGGAUGUUAAGAACACUUGGUUAGCACGUAAGGAGGACUACUCAAUAGUUCAAUGUGCAGUCUUGUAUGGCUUAGAGCCGGGACUUCAACGUCGCUUUGAGCGUCAUGGAGCAUUUGAGAUGUUCCAGGAGUUGAAGUUUAUCUUUCAGAAGAACGCCCGGAUCGAGAGGUAUGAGACCUCCGAUAAAUUCUAUGCUUGCAAUAUGGAGGAAAACUCGUCUGUCAGUGAACAUGUGCUCAAAAUGUCUGGGUACUCAAACCGUCUAGCUGAGCUGGGGAUUGAACUCCCGCAAGAGGCUAUCACUGACAGAAUCCUUCAAUCACUGUCGCCAAGCUAUAAAGGCUUUGUGUUGAACUACAACAUGCAAGGGAUGAACAAGUCUCCCGGCGAGUUGUUUGCGAUGCUAAAAGUCGCAGAGUCUGAACUCCGUAAAGAGCAUCAAGUGUUGAUGGUGAGCAAGACCACUAGUUUCAAGAGAAACGGCAAAGGCAAGAAGGGCAAUUCGAAGAAGAGCGGCAAGCCUGUUGCCAAUCCACCGAAGAAACCCAAGGCUGGACCUAAGCCUGAAACAGAGUGCUUCUAUUGCAAGGGUAUGGGUCACUGGAAGCGCAAUUGCCCCAAUUAUCUGGCAGAUAAGAAGGCGGGCAAAGAAAAAUCAGGUAUAUUUGAUAUACAUGUUAUUGAUGUGUAUUUAACCGGCUCUCGUAGUAGUGCCUGGGUAUUUGAUACCGGUUCUGUUGCUCAUGUUUGCAACUCGAAACAGGAACUGCGGAAUAGACGAAGGCUGGCGAAAGACGAAGUGACGAUGCACGUAGGAAAUGGUUCCAAGGUUGAUGCAAUCGCCGUCGGCACAGUGUCACUUCAGCUACCAUCGGGAUUAGUGAUGAACUUAAAUCAUUGUUAUUUAGUGCCUGCGUUGAGCAUGAACAUUAUAUCUGGAUCUUGUUUAUUGCGAGACGGUUACUCUUUUAAGUCUGAGAAAAAUGGUUGUUCUAUUUCUAUGAGUAACAUAUUUUAUGGUCAUGCACCGAAUGUGAGAGGAUUGUUCAUAUUGAAUCUUGAUAGCGAUACGCAUAUACAUAACAUUGAGACCAAAAGAGUUAGAGUAAACAAUGAUAGCGCCAUAUUUUUGUGGCACUGCCGCUUGGGUCAUAUUGGUGUAAAGCGCAUGAAGAAACUCCAUGCUGAUGGACUUUUGGAGUCACUUGACUUUGAUUCACUUGACACGUGCGAACCAUGCCUCAUGGGCAAGAUGACUAAGACUCCGUUCUCCGGAACAAUGGAGCGUGCAAGUGACUUGUUGGAAAUCAUACAUACCGAUGUGUGUGGUCCAAUGAGCGUAGAGGCACACGGCGGAUAUCGUUAUUUUCUCACCUUCACUGACGAUUUAAGUAGAUAUGGUUAUGUCUACUUGAUGAAACACAAGUCUGAAACAUUUGAAAAGUUCAAGAAAUUUCAGAGUGAAGUGGAAAAUCAUCAUAACAAGAAGAUCAAGUUCCUACGGUCUGAUCGUGGGGGUGAAUAUCUGAGUUUCGAGUUUGGUGCUCACUUAAGACAAUGUGGAAUUGUUUCGCAGUUAACACCGCCUGGAACACCACAGCGUAAUGGUGUGUCCGAACGUCGUAAUCGUACUUUCUUAGAGAUGGUGCGAUCUAUGAUGUCUCUUACUGAUUUGCCGUUAUCAUUUUGGGGUUAUGCAUUAGAAACAGCUGCAUUCACUUUAAAUAGGGCACCAUCAAAAUCCGUUGAGACGACACCAUACGAACUGUGGUAUGGCAAAAGGCCAAAGUUGUCGUUUCUUAAAGUUUGGGGAUGUGAUGCUUAUGUCAAAAAGCUUCAGCCUGAAAAGCUGGAACCCAAAGUGGAAAGGUGCCUCUUCAUAGGUUACCCAAAAGAGACAGUUGGGUACACCUUCUAUCUCAAAUCCGAGGGCAAAGUGUUUGUUGCUAAAAACGGAGCUUUUCUCGAGAAGGAGUUUCUCUCGAGAGAAUUGAGUGGGAGGAAGAUAGAACUUGACGAGGUUGUCGAACCUUUCAUCCCUCUGGAUGGUGGCGCAGGGCAAGGGGAAACCUCUAUCGUUGCGACGCCGGUUGAGGAGGAAGUUAAUGAUGAUGAUCAUGAAACUCCAGUUCAAGUUUCUAUUGAACCACGCAGGUCGACGAGAUCACGCGCUGCUCCAGAGUGGUACGGUAAUCCCGUCUUAUCAAUCAUGUUGUUAGACAACAAUGAACCUGCAAAUUAUGAAGAAGCAAUGGUGGGCCCAGAUUCCAACAAAUGGCUAGAAGCCAUGAAAUCCGAGAUAGGAUCCAUGUAUGAGAACAAAGUGUGGACUUUGGAGAUACUACCUGAGGGCCGCAAGGCUAUUCAGAACAAAUGGAUCUUUAAGAAGAAGACGGACGCUGACGGUAAUGUGACCGUUUAUAAAGCUCGACUUGUGGCAAAGGGUUUUUCACAAGUUCCAGGAGUUGACUACGAUGAGACUUUCUCACCCGUAGCGAUGCUUAAGUCCGCCAGAAUCAUGUUAGCAAUAGCUGCAUUUUUCGAUUAUGAAAUCUGGCAGAUGGAUGUCAAAACGGCGUUCCUUAACGGUUUCCUUAAGGAAGAGUUGUAUAUGAUGCAACCCGAAGGUUUUGUCGAUCCUAAAAAUGCUGAUAAAGUGUGCAAGCUCCAGCGAUCCAUUUAUGGACUGGUGCAAGCAUCUCGGAGUUGGAACAAACGCUUUGAUGAGGUGAUCAAAGCAUUUGGGUUUAUACAAGUGGUUGGAGAAUCCUGUAUUUACAAGAAAGUGAGUGGGAGCUCUGUGGCGUUUCUAAUAUUAUAUGUGGAUGACAUAUUACUGAUUGGAAACAAGGUAGAGCUUUUGGAGAGCAUAAAAGGUUACUUGAAUAAAAGUUUCUCUAUGAAGGACCUAGGAGAAGUUGCUUACAUUCUAGGCAUUAAGAUCUAUAGGGAUAGAUCAAAAAGCCUGAUAGAACUUUCACAAAGCACAUACCUUGAUAAAGUUUUGAAGAGGUUCAAAAUGGAGCAGUCCAAGAAAGGGUUCUUGCCAGUUUUACAAGGUACGAGAUUGAGUAAGACUCAGUGCCCAGCAACUGAUGAAGAUAGAGAGCAUAUGCGCUCCGUCCCCUAUGCUUCAGCCAUAGGUUCUAUCAUGUAUGGGAUGCUGUGCACUAGACCGGAUGUUAGCCUGGCCAUAAGUAUGGCAGGUAGGUUCCAGAGUAAUCCAGGAGUGGAUCACUGGACAGCGGUCAAGAAUAUCCUGAAGUACCUGAAAAGGACUAAGGAGAUGUUUCUCGUCUAUGGAGGUGACGAAGAGCUCGCCGUAAAAGGUUACGUCGAUGCAAGCUUUGACACAGAUCCGGACGACUCUAAGUCGCAAACCGGAUACGUAUUUAUUCUUAAUGGGGGUGCAGUAAGCUGGUGCAGUUCCAAGCAAAGCGUCGUAGCAGAUUCUACAUGUGAAGCGGAGUACAUGGCUGCCUCGGAGGCGGCUAAGGAGGGUGUCUGGAUGAAGCAGUUCAUGACGGAUCUUGGAGUGGUGCCAAGUGCACUGGAUCCAAUAACCUUAUUCUAUGACAACACUGGUGCCAUUGCCUUAGCAAAGGAACCAAGGUUUCACAAGAAGACCAGACACAUCAAACGACGCUUCAACCUCAUCCGCGACUACGUCGAGGAGGAGGACGUAAAUAUAUGCAAAGUGCACAUGGAUCCUCUCCCUAUAGUGNNNNNNNNNNNNNNNNNNNNNNNNNNNNNNNNNNNNNNNNNNNNNNNNNNNNNNNNNNNNNNNNNNNNNNNNNNNNNNNNNNNNNNNNNNNNNNNNNNNNAUAGCCAGCCGAUGAUCCCCUCCACUCUCGUCUCGUCGCACACGCCGCUCCGUCCAUCACCUGGCUCGCCGUUGUCUUUGUGGUCUGCAGGCGAGGACGUGGAGCGCGCACAGGGCCCACGACAACGUCGCCAGGAGCCUCCGCGCCGUGGAGGCCGUCGUGCGGCACCUCGACGGCGUGCGCGAGGUACGUUCGAUGGGUUCUUCUGCCUUGCUUUCGAUCGGUUUGCUCGUCGCCGGCCGUCGUCCUGCGCCGCCGUCGCCGGCGGCGAUGGCGAUUUCGUCGUGGUGUCUGCUUCUAGACCGGGAGCAUGGGUCGACUAGUCGUGGGGUCCAACAGAGUCGUCCGCCCGCGUUGAUCCAUUCCACGGGCACGGACGCGCUAUUUCCGACGCCAAUCACCUGGCCUGGGCCGGCCCAGUACCAGUGUUUCUCGGCGCGAGGCCCAGAUAUGUGUCGGGCCGUCCCAGCGCGUCGUGCUGGGCCAAAUGCGUGAUCUGUUUCCCGUCGUCUCUCCCCACACCGGGCUCCGGCCCGGCCCCCAUUCCCCAGAUGGGUCGGAGCCGCCCCCUACUCCGGCGGGGCGGCGACGUGCGGGACGCGAGGGGUCNNNNNNNNNNNNNNNNNNNNNNNNNNNNNNNNNNNNNNNNNNNNNNNNNNNNNNNNNNNNNNNNNNNNNNNNNNNNNNNNNNNNNNNNNNNNNNNNNNNNGCUCGCGGCCAGGUAAACCCGCUGUCCCACGCCCGGACCUCGAGCCGAUCCGGUGGCCCGUCCUUUCCCCCGAUUCGCGUGCCGCUGCCGCAGAUCUGUGUCGCAUGUCGCUGUUUCCCGCCUGAUCCGUGUCCAAGCCCGCGUCGCGAUGCGCUGUGCGUGUGUAUGUUUGUCGAAUCGUGCUUGUUCAUACGGCUGGUUUACGAUUACCUCAAUAAAAAAAUGCGUCUGGUUUAGGUGCUGGGUAGGUUGGUGAGGCGUCCAGAUGGACCAGAUCCAUGCAUGCGAACCUAGGGCCGGCUCUGACGCCGUUGCAUGCCUGCGACGUUCGCCGGGGUCGUUAAUUGGCGAUGGGAAUGUCACCAAAAUAUUGUCUUAGCGGUCUAAUUCUGUUACUUUCUGGAUAAGGCCGCCUGAUUUCAUAUUUUGAAUAUGACACAUGUCUGCUGCGUCUAGGAUGUCUAUGCGGAUCAAGAAAGCAACAGAUUGUCUUAGUGGCCAGUGGGAGGUGUUUUUUUUUGUUUUCUGGCCUGCCAUGCUUUCCGGCCAUUAAUUUACACGCAUGUGAAUAGUUCCUUUACAGUUUAUAUGCCCCGCCUCUCCAUUGUGCAGUAGCAAUGGCGACAAAGUGCAUCAUCGGCGCGCUGAUCGGAUCCUUGGGCGUUGCGUACGUCUCCGACACGAUCGUUUCUGACAAGAAGAUCUUUGGAGGUGAGUAGUGCCAUGCUGUGUUACAUAUAUACAUGCCCUUAGGAUGCUUGUGCCUCACCUCUUGUAAGAAUUCAUAUAAUCUCUGCUUCUUACUUUUGAAAAUAGGGACUGUUUGCAAGACCGCGACCGACAAGGAGUGGUUUCAGGCCACGGACGCCAAGUUCCAGGCCUGGCCUCGCACCGCUGGGGGGAACCCCAUCAGCCGCCAGAACUUCAUCGUCAAGAACCCCUGAAUAGGUGGCACAAGCGGCAUCUUGCUCCCACCAUGGGAGCCCAAGUUUAGUUUCUUUUUUGGGUUUUGAAGUUCCUAAUAAAAGGGACUUGAAAGUCAGGGUCUACUCUUUUGUUUUACAAAUUUCAGUUUCCGUGAGCAACUUUGAGGUGCUUUACAGCUCGCUCGCUCGGAUUCGGAUUCGGGCCAGACGGAGGAAGUCUUUAUAAGAGCUUGCCGUGAUAAUGACUCUCCUAAAACCCUUAUUUGCGGUUAAUUGUUAAUUGGAUCUACACUUUUGUUGGAUCCACAUCUUUGAAAGAAGACUAGUUUGGGUCUUUCGAUGAACUCUGUUCCUCGAUGAAAUUAUCCACUAGACAGUAAAAUAACUGCAUUGUUGUUUCCGGACUGUCUUUCAUGUGUUGUGGUUCUUCCUGAUCUGAUGCUCCAAGUUUAUGCUGUGAUGUUAACGAGUCUAUUGUUUUUGACCCUUAGCAUGGUGGACUGGCGGUGCACUAUAAUUCUUUUUUGCUUGUGCUGCUAAUAUGCACAAUGGUAAACUAUUGUUUAGAAGAAUUCAUCAGCUGCUGUUCUGCUGCUGUUAUUUGCGAUGCUAAACCAUUAUUGACAAGCAUUCAUCUACUGCUGUUAGAUUGAAUAUCAUUCUGUGAUAUCCUGCUGAAAAUGCUGGACACAGCUUUAGUAUUGUAGCACAUCAAUGCCCACCGAAGCCCAACUAUGGCCCAACACUAGUACAGGUAUCUGUGAUCUUCAUAUUGUUUUUCGUUUUUGACAAGAACUGUGCGAGCAACAGAACUUUGUGUUGUGAGAAAGGUAACAUGAUGACCACAAGCCAUUCACAUGACCCAACGUUCUUGAUCAGCUGAAAUGGUUUACAUGCAGAUUUCUGUAAAAUUGGGAGAUGGUAACUGGAACAUCAGAUUUCAAAUUUGCUUGCUUCUAGAUGGAAAGCACAUGAAAGGGGCGAACAAAAUACAUGAUGACAAAAGGACAAAGCGAACAAAAAAUAACAGAAUUGACAUACUUUUGCCGCGAUUAUGCGCAUUCGCAAACCAUCAUAGUAAUUGGCAAGAAUAUAUCAGGGCAUAUCAUUUUUUUUAGGCUCAGCUGGAGUAUUGCAGUAAAUCAGUGCCCACUGAAGCCCAACUAUGGCCCAACAUUCGUACAAGUCUCUGUGCCUGUGAUCUUUGUAUUUACAGAAGCUAUUUUCCCUUCUUUGGCCAGAACUGUGCGAGCAACUGAGAAUUAAUUUGUGUUUUGAACAAUGUAACACAAUGGCCAUGAGCCGCUCAUGAAUCUGAAGUUAUUGAUCCGCCAAAAUAUUUUAAAUGCCAACAUUACAUCAGGCUCUUCUUCUUUUUUUUGCGGGGGAUUACAUCAGGCUCUUGACACAACGGAUUUCUGUAAAAUUAGGGGCAUGCAUAUAUGGAGCAGAUUAAAAUCUUUAUCUAAUAAUAAAGAGGCUAUCGCUUCCGUCGGAAAACCCAUCGAGGUGAUUUUACAAAAAAGUCCUUACUGUUUAUGACAUUAAACUCGUAGUAUAUAUUAAAAUAUAUUUUUAAAUACUCAUAUCUUUUAAACCGUAACUCCAAAUUAAACAUAUUAUACAUGGGAUUUGAUUAGAAAAAUAUGUAGAAUUUAAAUAUGAUAUUAUUUUAUCUGUUAAACAUUUAAUAAAAAUACUAUCUAGGGUGCAAUCUUAAUAAAUAAGUCAUUAUUCGUCUUUCUUUCAUACCGGUACUCAUCCGGGUUGGGGAUGAGCACGUCAACAAAAUCAAGAUUAGAGAUGAAAUUGAAGGUCACUUGACUGAUUCUUUGUACGUAUUAAAUCUACAUGCAAGCCGUGUUAAAAUAGAAGAUCUGUGAAAUUUUGAACUGCAUUUUUGUAGGAUAAGACCAUCUUUAUUUGUAUCGUAACUAUAAAUUUUCAAAUUAUAGACAUUUUUUAUAAAUUAAGAGCGUGUGUCGUGUGGUAUUUCUUUCUCCCGUUGCAACGCAUGGGCCCUUUUGCUAGUUAUGGUAAUAUGAGCAUCUGAAAGAUUUGCUUUGGGAUGUGAAGCACAUGAAAGGGGCCACACAUGAUGACAAACGGGCAAGCUAAAAAACGCGGAAUUGGAUGACUGUAGUACGUGAUGAGGCACAAUCAAACAAUGGCAAACAAAUCUUCAAUGAAAGUGGGCAGCUCCUCCAUACGUUGAUGGAGGGGAAGAUAAAAGCAAGGAUAUACUGUAUAUGAUAGGAAAUGAAAGUUUUCGCUGGAAAAAAAGAGGAAUUGUAGCUCAAAUGCAACACAGAACUUUUUAGUCGUCACAAGUUCGCAGGAAAAAAAGAUAGAACUGCAUCCUCACAAAAGUACUCAACAUAUGGCCCUAUAGUUUUGGUACAAUAUAUACAACAUAUCACUUGGUCCGCUAACAAAACCCCAUCUCGGAUCCUAUAUGGCGCGCCGACUAUUUCUCGCAUUAAGCGCCAACUUAGAAAGCACUCGCAGGAGGGUGUAGAGUAGUUGGGCCGGUCCAUUUUCGUGCACAAUGAAACGGGAGAGGACUCGCUACGAUGACCACUAUGACCAUGUCAUGCACACGAGUUGGUGCGAUGUGUACUUGAGGCAUUUGUAUAGUAAUAUUUUUUGGGUUUAAGUUGCACAGCAAACAGAACCACAACUAAAUAGGAUCGACGCACCAUUGCCAACACUGUCAACUGAUUAUUUAGUGGUACACUGAGCGGCAGCAAGAAGAAGGUACCGAAAAACUCGAAGUAUAGAACAUACAAGAAAGUAAGUGAACUAAUCCAUGCUUUACAUAUUUGGUCACUAUAGCCGUCAUAUGAAUAGAAAAUCAAAUGAAACUUACUUGCUUCCUCCUCUAGGUUCCAAUCAUCAUGGUCAUCAAACUCGAUAUUCUGCAUAGUGCAGCCAUAUGAGCCAUAUUUACAAUAUGAAAGACAAAGAAAUGAUGCAUCACUGGUCUAUCAUUUCAUAAUGGGCACCCUUUCAUAUUUGUCCAUGUGAAGGAACACAUAUACAUCAUAUAGUUUCCCGAAAAUCAUGAGGCUUUUAAAACACUUUUUUCUACCACAAAGAAUACCUCAGUGCAUAAAGAUUUGAAGUACUAAUCUAUUUAUAAUUUUCAUCCCAUCUUUCUUCAUCUUCCACUUCCCACUUUUCUUAUAUCACCGUCCUUUUUGAUCUUACCCUCUCCAUACUACUAAGUACCCAAUCUCUAUCAGCACAAUGACGUAAGCAUAAUCUCACUAUUUCCGUAAUGUGUAAUGUCAAACAGAGUAUAAGACUUCAAACCAGUUAUAUUGUAUCUACAUUACGAAGAUGUUUUCCAGACUGAUUCCAAUAACUCGAAAAUAAAACUAAAAGGUAAUGAUGUAUUUGCUUGAGCUUCCCUUCAAUUUUCUCAAAUAGUUCAAAUGACUGGCAAAUAAAGAUGGCAAGAUCCAUGAAAAGGAUCAAUGUAUGUACACCUAAAUAAUAUCUAGCCUAGAAGUGUUCGUUUAAGUUUCACUGCUUCCAUAGACAUGCCGAUAGGAUGGUGUAAACAAAAUAGUUUCCUUAAAAAAAGAUGCUAGAAGAUGUCAUAGGCAUGAACAGAGGUUUGUGACAGAAGAAGUUGUGAUUCUAGCAAACCUGCCACUCUAUCUCACCAAAGUUGCCUCCUAUUAGAAACAUUUCGGUAUCUUUGUCAUCAUUCUGCAUUUUUCAUUACAGCGGCUUCGUUGUCCCAUUCAUGCAGUUGCAUACGUCCAAGAAGGACGGAAAUAUCACAACCGUAGAAAGAAAAUGUCCGUCAGCAUCACAAUUCAAAUCUGAAGCGCAGAUAGUAGGAACAUGCUAGACAAUGUGCGUCAGCAUCACAAGACCAAACAAAAAGGCUGGAUGGAUAUGGUGGUAGUUUUAUCCACAUAAACCUGCACAAGAAGUGAAAGCAGAGGUUGAAUGUCGUGAGAACACAAACAUACAAGCACGAUCACCACACUUCAAGAUAAAAUUAAUUCAAGAAUGAAACCAGAUGCACGCGUGCGCAAACAGAACCUUUUAGAAGAGGAAUUGAGGAUCCCGAGGAGGGGGGCACGUGUCUGGCGGGGCUAUGCCAACUCUCGAUGUUCAACAGGUGCCACCAGAUCCCAUUCCCCAUGGUCAUCGGCCCCCAUUGUUGAAACAUGCCUAAUACUCAACACACGACGGUGGCCCAACUUGGCUCCCAAGCAAGCCCGGCAUGGCGAAGACCUGACAAUGCAUGCACGUCCGCAUGCCUCGGGAUCACUACCUACCUCGCACGCCAUCUGCCGAUCGCUGACCUGCUCCUUAGGGUUUCGGUUAGCUGCUGAUGAACUGCCCUGUAUAAGUACCGAUAGUAUAGAUUGAAUAAAUGUGUGCAGUCUCAAAACCUCUCUCUCAAAUAUUACAUGGUAUAAGUUUUCUUCUGAUCCUCUCGCUUCCGCUCUCCACCGCCGUCAUGGCUUCCCCCCGCUCCUCUCUCUCCGGUGAGGUCAAUCCCUUUCCCGUCCUCGAGCCUGCCUCUGCAGCUAGCCUUCGGCUCAUCCACAUCCAAGAUCACGUCCCCGUCGUCCUGGAUCUCCACACCCCUUCCUUCUCCACCUGGCGCACUUAUUUCUCGUUGACCUUCCGCGAAUUUCAAAUUCGGGAUCAUGUCGACGUCUCGAUUGACGCCCGCGUCAUGCGCGACGACGCCAACUGGAUGGGGGUCGACGCCACUAUCAUUAAGUGGCUAUACCGCACCGUCAGCAAAGAGAUCUUCUCGCACGUCACCCGCAACGACGACUCGACCCUCGAUGUUUCGACCUCCAUCUGCCAACUCUUCCUCGACAACCAGCUACAGCGCCAUGUGCUUCUCACGAACGAGUUCUACAGCCUCUCCCAGGACGGUAUGGGGCUCUUCGACUACUGCCUCCGCCUCAAGGUGCUCGCCGACGAGCUCCGAGACGUGGGCGCCCCGGUCUCCGACGCCACCAUGCUCACGAACACGAUCCGCGGGCUCGGUCCGGACUACGCCAACACUUCUUCCUACCUCAACCUCCUCACCGAGUCGAAGUUCGCCCGCGCCGUCAACUACCUGCGUCUUGAGGAGCGACGGAUGCGGCAGUCUUCUCUACAGCGGAACCAGUCUGCCCUCCCCGCACGCACCGCUUCACCAGCGCCUCCCGCGGCUCCUCCCGCGACACCCCCCGCGGCCGGCACCUCUCCACUCAGCCACGCCCGCAAGAAGAAGCGGGGCUCCGAUGGUCGCACGAGUACCGCCGGGUGUCCCUCCACGCCAUCCAGUCCCGCUCCUGCGCCCUGGUUCGGGGUGUCAAUCCCUGGACAGGUGUCGUUCAUGCGUGGGCCUUGCCGCCGGCGCGCGCGCCCCACCCUGGCAUCCUCGGCUCACGUCCCGUGAGCCACCAAGCUCUGCUGGCUGCCUCUCCGUCUUGUGGCUACCCACGCUGGCCCCCAACACAUGGCCGCGCGUGCCUCCUACGCACUGGCUCGGCAACUCCGGCGGGGCAUCCACCUCCUAUGAUCCCACGCUCCUGACGGCCCUACAUCAGGCUCCCUCGCCGGCCACCUACACCGGCAACCUCGACUGGUUCAUGGACACUGGCGCGUCCUCACACAUGGCCUCCCACCCUGGUAUCCUUUCCCAGUCUUAGCCCUUCCCUACGUCUACUCGCAUCGUGGUGGGUGAUGGCUCUUCUCUCCCCAUCACACACCGCGGUGAUCUCUCCCUCUCCUCCCACUCUCCCAUUAAACUCUAUGAUGUGCUUGUUUCUCCUCAGCUCAUUACUAACCUUGUUCUUCACGUGCACACGGCUGAACAAUUCAGCGACGUCAUGACCAAAGGGCUUCCACCGUCGGUGUUCUGGGAAUUUCGCUCCAGCCUCUGCAUCUCCGACGACGAGGGGGGGGGGGGGUGUUGAAACGGGCCUAAUACUCAGCCCACGCCAGUGGCCCAACUUGGCUCCCAAGCAAGCCCAGCAUGGCGAAGACCUGGCAACGCAUGCACGUCCGCAUGCAUGGGGAUCGCUACCCACCUCGCACGCCAUCUGCUGAUCGCUGAUCUGCUCCUCAGGGUUUCGGUUAGCUGCUGAUGAACUGCCCUGUAUAAGUACCGAUGGUAUAGAUUGAAUAAAUGUGUGCAGUCUCAAAACCUCUCUGUCAAAUCUUACACCCAUCACGCCGGGAGGGCAUGUCAUCCAGGGAGAUAGAUGAGAGGAGUGUGUCGUCGCCGCCAAUAUCACGUCGUGGUCAAUGCGAUAGAGAUGAUCGGGAAGCAAGGAUCUAGGGUUGCGGUUCCUCGACGACGACAAUGGGACGCUCGAACGAGUGGCGACCGAAAGCGGUGGGUGAAGAGGUCUAGGUGUGGAGGCUUGUGCAAUUAAUGGGGAGGGGAGGAACGCGAUUGUAGAUUGCAGGAGGAGGGUGCAGUUGCGACUUAUGAAGGCAUGAGGGGAUCUUGGGAGCGUGGGGCUCGUUGUUGUGCGUUCGAAUCCUGGGUGGCGUGUUUUUUGCCUUUUGUCAGGCUGGGAUGGGGGGCGAUCGUACGUGGGACUGGAGGUUGAAGAGUUUUUUUAUUAAACCGUCUGUUUUUCAAAGGGUUGAAAAAAACGAUGGGAGGUGGGAGGACGUGGGUGGGAGGAGGGGGAGAUCGAUCUGGGUUGAACCAUCACUAUAACGGCAGAUCCCCUUUAAUAGUAGAGAAGUAUGCUUGCACACUGAAUGUAACGAAGUGAUGGCUCGAUGAGACUCCUAGUUUCUUACUCACCAGCUUUCUGGUUGAUUGUCCUAGAACGGCAUUUUUAUGAGAAUUGUCCGAACAAGAAAAGAACCCAUGCACAAUACUGCUUUUUUUACGACGGUGCCGGUGCUUUACGGGACGUGCCAGCCUUAAUCCCUCAAACUAGUUUUAAGGGUUGAGAAUUUGCAUUUUUUGGCACUUUUAAGGGUUGAAAAACAGGGGCAAAGACUAGAACUCUCAAACCCAACCCUUAUAACAAAAACAGGGGCAAAAACAAAAGAGCUCAGGGCGGCGCGGCUGCCUCUGGCCCGCCNNNNNNNNNNNNNNNNNNNNNNNNNNNNNNNNNNNNNNNNNNNNNNNNNNNNNNNNNNNNNNNNNNNNNNNNNNNNNNNNNNNNNNNNNNNNNNNNNNNNGAUCAGAUUAUCUAUGAUAUAUAUUUGAGUCUUUGCUGAUUUCUUAUAUGCAUGAUUUGAUAUCCUUGUAAGUCUCUCCGAGUCUUGGGUUUUGUUUGGCCAACUAGAUCUAUGAUUCUUGCAAUGGGAGAAGUGCUUGGUUUUGGGUUCUACCAUGUGGUGACCUUUCCCAGUGACAGUAGGGGCACCAAGGCACACAUCAAGUAGUUGCCAUCAAGGGUAACAAGAUGGGGUUUUCAUCAUUGGUUUGAGAUUAUCCCUCUACAUCAUGUCAUCUUGCUUAAGGCGUUACUCUGUUCUUAUGGACUUAAUACACUAGAUGCAUGCUGGAUAGCGGUCGACCUGUGGAGUAACAGUAGUAGUUGCAGAAAGUAUCGGUCUACUUGUUUUGGACGUGAUGCCUAUAGAUAUAAUCAUUGCAUAGAUACCGUCACGACUUUGCGGUUCUAUCAAUUGCUCGAUAGUAAUUUGUUCACCCACCGUCUACUUGCUUUCAUGAGAGAAGCCAUUAGUAAACACUACGGCUCCCGGGUCUAUUCACAUCCAUCGUUUACACCUCUGCUUUUACUUUGCUUUGUUAGUUUGUUGCUUUCAGUUCUCACUUGGCAAACAAUCUAUAAGGGAUUGACAACCCCUUCAUAGCGUUGGGAGCAAGCUUUUGUGUUUGUGCAGGAUCUUGUGAUACUCCUCCACCGGAUUGAUACCUUGGUUCUCAAACUGAGGGAAAUACUUACCACCGCUGUGCUACAUCACCCUUUCCGCUUCGAGGAACACCAACGCAAGGCUCCAAGGCCACGGGGGAAAUCCUUUGCAUACUUUCCUAGGAAGUCCCUUAAGGCGUAGCCUCAUCUGAAGGAUUCCUGGUGUCGUCGACACGACUAUUUCUGGCGCCGUUGCAAGGGAAGCACAGCUGACAUCAGAAGUAUUUCCGGCGCCGUUGCCGGGGAGGAGAAAUCAAGAUCUAUCCAAGUAGGUCUCGUUUUCCUAUCCCCCACUUCACAUUUGCCGUUUUCAUUUGCCUUUUUUCGUUCGCCCUUUUCUCUCGCUUGCUUUCUGUUCGCUUGUGUGCCAUGUGCCUUCAAUAUGUUUGCAUCUUCGUUUGUUAAUCUCUUUAAGAGACCCACUUAUGUGGAACGAAUUGCUAGUGAGUUGAAGACACUUGACUAUCUUUAUGGAGUUUUGCUUGAGAGGCGUGAAUCUGAAAAUUGUGUGGAAGAAAAUUAUGAAGUGAUUCACGAGGGUUCCAUGGAUGAAAAGCAUGAUUGCAAUGGUUUCACUAUAAAUUCUAUUAGUGAUAAUUAUGCUAAAAUUAUGCAAAAACCCUAAGCUUGGGGAUGCUAGUUUUGCUUUGACCACUACUUGUUGCAAAGAUCAUGAUUGUGGUGAGGAUUUUUCUUCUGAUCUUGAAAAUUUGUUCAAGCCUCAAGAUGAAUAUGAUAUUUGCAAUAUUAUUGAAAGUGGGUUUGGAGAAGUCAUGACUUUAGAUGAUAAUCCCACUAUUUUUGAAGAGCGUCAACUUUGCAUGCAUGUGGAUCAUGAAAAGAAUAUCCUAUGGGAUAGCUAUAUUGUCGAAUUUGAAUAUGAUCCCACGUGUAAUUGCUAUGAGAGAGGAAAAUAUUUUGGUAGAAACUUUCAUGUUACCAAAUUACCUCUCGUUAUGUUGAGAUUGGUAUUGUCUCUUUCUUCUUCCUUGCAUAUGGCAGCUAUUGGUUGUCUUGACAAUUUGUUUUCCUAUAAAAUGCCUAUGCAUAGGAAGUAUGUUAGACUUAGAUGUGAUUUUCACAUGCUUUACGAUGCUCUCGUUGUGCUUCAAUUCUUGUCUUUUGUGAGAGCAUCAUUCAAUGCCUAGCUAAGGGCGUUAAACAAAAGCGCUUGUUGGGAGGCAACCCAACGAAUUUAUCCUUUUUCUUUCUGUUUUGUGUUUUCCACACUUUCAUAAUUCUGUUAUGAUUGUGUUUUUUGUGUUUCUUUUUGCGUUUGUGCCAAGCAAAACCGUUAUGAUUAGUCUUGGGGAUGAUCGUUUGGUCAUGCUGGAAAAGACAGAAACUUUCUGCUCACGAAAAUAAUUUUCAUUUGUUUUGUGUAAGAGAUUUUGAGUUGAUUCUUUUUGCUGAUGAUUUCUACGCAAAUUCUUCAGAUUGUCGUAAUUUUUCAGAAUUUCUGAAGUACCAGAGGUAUACGAAAUAUACAGAUUUCUACAGACUGGUCUGCUGUUAACAGAUUCUGUUUUUGUUGUGUUGGUUGCUUAUUUUGAUGAAACUAUAGAUAGUAUCGAGGGGUAUUAGCCAUGGAAGAUUUAAAAUACAGUAACCCAACAUCAGCACAAGUAGAGUUUAAGUUUGCUACAGUACCUAAGGAAGUGGUGGUUUGCUUUCUUGUACUAAUGUUAUCACGAGUUUCUGUUUAAGUUUCGUGUUGUGAAGUUUUCAAGUUUUGGGUGAAGUUCUUAUGGACAAAGAGAUAAAGAGUGGCAAGAGCUUAAGCUUGGGGAUGCCCAAGGCACCCCAAGAGAUUCUAGGAUGCCAUAAAAGCCUAAGCUUGGGGAUGCCCCGGGAAGGCAUCCCCUCUCUCGUCUUCAAUCCAUCGGUAACGUUACUUGGGGCUAUAUUUUUAUUCACCACAUGUUAUGUGUUUUUGCUUGGAGCGUCUUGUAUCGUAGGAGUCUUUUAUUUUUGUUGUGUCACAAUCAUCCUUGCUGCACACCUAGAGAGAGAGACAUGCACACACCGUGAUUUUGUCGAGCUUCACUUAUAUCUUUGGGGGGGGGGGGGGGCUAACAUGUGCUUCACUUAUAUCUUUUGAGCUAGAUACUUUUGCUCUAUGUGCUUCACUUAUAUCUUUUAGAGCACAGUGGUGCGUGGCUUGGUAGUUGAUCUAUGCUUUGAAAGUAGUCUCAAAAAGGGUAGUUAUCCAAAGGGAUACGAAAACUUCCACCUUCAUGUGCAUUGAAUAGUUAGAGAUGUUUGAUUCAUCUCAAUUAGUUUUGAGUUGUGGUUAUGGUAAUAUUGAAGUCAUGCUAGUAAGGUGUUGUGGAUCUAUAAAUACUUGUGUUGAAGUUAGUGAUUCCCGUAGCAUGCACGUAUGGUGAACCGCUAUGUGAUGAAAUCUGAGCAUGAUUAGUCUAUUGAUUGUCAUCCUUUGCGUGGCGGUCGGGACCGCGCGAUGGUUUAUACCUACCAACCCUUCCCCUAGGAGUAUGUGUUGAAUGCUUUGUUUCGAUUACUAAUAAAACUUUUACAACAAGUAUAUGAGUUCUUCAUGACUAAUGUUGAGUCCAUGGUUUAUAUGCACUUUCACUUUCCACCAUCACUAUCUUCUUAGUGUCGUGCAACUUUCGCCGGUGCACAAAACCCACCAUUUGCCUCCCUCAAAACAGCCACCAUACCUACCUACUAUGGCUUUUUCAAAGUCAUUCCGAGAUAUAUUGCCAUGCAACUACCACCAUGAGAUGUGCCUCCACGUCUACAUUGCCACUGCAUGAUCGUAAGAUAGCUAGCAUGAUGUUUCCAUUGAUGUCUAUGCCAUGCUAGAUCAUUGUCACGGUACCCUACCGAAGGCAUUCCAUAUAGAGUCAUAGUUGCUCUAAGUUUUGAGUUGAAAGUGUGAUGAUCAUAAUUAAUGGAGCAUUGUCCCAUGUGAGGAAAUAAAAGAGGCCAAAGAAGCCCACCAAAAUAAANNNNNNNNNNNNNNNNNNNNNNACAAAGAGCCCACCAAAAAAUGAAAAAAUGAGAGAAAAAGAGAGAAGGGACAAUGCUACCACUUUUUCCACACUUGUGCAAUUUAAGCACCAUGAUCUUCAUGAUUGAGAGUCUCUCGUUUUGUCACCACCAUAUAGCUAGUGGGAAUUUUUCAUUAUAUAACUUGGCUUGUAUAUUCCAAUGAUAGGCUUCCUCAAAAUUGCCUUAGGUCUUCGUGAGCAAGCAAGUUGGAUGCACACCCACUAGUUUUCUUUAAGAGCUUUCACAUACUCUUAGCUCUAGUGCAUCAUUUGUAUGGCAAUCCCUACUCAUUCACAUUGAUAUCUAUUGAUGAGAAUCUCCACAGCUCAUUGAUAUGCCUAGUUAAUGUGACUAUCUUCUCCUGUUUGUCUUGCAACCUCCACCACACUCCACACCAUCUAUAGUGCUAUAACCAUGGCUCACGCUCAUGUAUUGCGUGAGAGUUGAAAAGGUUUGAGAAAGUAAAGGUGUGAAACAAUUACUUGGCCAAUACCGAGGUUGUGCAUGAUUUAAAUUCGUUGUGCAAUGAUGAUAGAGCAUAGCCAGACUAUAUGCUUUUGUAGGGAUAACUUUCUUUUGGCCUUGUUAUUUUGAAAGUUCAUGAUUACCUUGCUAGUUUGCUUGAAUUAUUAUUGUUUCCACGUCAAUAGCAAACUAUUGUUUUCAAUCUAAUGGAUCUGAACAUUCACGUCACAUAAGAGGAAUUACAAAGGACAUCUAUGCUAGGUAGCAUGAAAGCAUCAAAAAUUCAUUCUUUAUCACUUCCCUACUCGAGGGCGAGCAGGAGUUAAGCCUGGGGAUGCUUGAUACGUCUCAAACGUAUCUAUAAUUUUUGAUGGUUUCAUGCUGUUAUCUUGUCUUCUUUGGAUGUUUUAUGUAUCUUUUUAUAUCUUUUUGGGACUAACUUAUUAAUUCAGUGCCAAGUGCUAGUUCCUGUUUUUUCUGUGUUUUUGACUCUUUUCAGAUCUGAUUUUGGAACGGAGUCCAAACAGAAUAAAAAACCCGAAAUGAUUUUUUCCCGAAUGGAAGAAGAUCAGGCGGCCUCUGGGCCAAGCCAGGUGGGCUCCAAGGAGCCCACAAGCUCCCACUCCGCCACCAGGGGGGAGGCGGUGGUGUGAGGGCUUGUGGCCUCCCUGGCCGCCCCCUGACCUAGAUCCUUGGCCUAUAUAUUCCCAAAUAUUUAGCAAAAAUCAGGGGAGCCUCGAAAAUACUUUUCCGCCGCCGCAAACUUCCGUUUCCGCGAGAUCUCAUCUGGAGACCCUUCCCGGCGCCCUGCCGGAGGGGACUUUGGAGUUGGAGGGCUUCUUCAUCAUCAUCAUCGCCCCUCCAAUGACUUGUGAGUAGUUCACUUCAGACCUACGGGUCCGUAGUUAGUAAUCUUCUUUGGCGGUGUAAUCUUGGAUCUUCAAUACAAAGUUCUCCAUGAUCUUCAUGGAGAUCUAUCCGAUGUAAUCUUCUUUGGCGGUGUGUUUGUCGAUAUCCGAUGAAUUGUGGAUUUGUGAUCAGAUUAUCUAUGAUAUAUAUUUGAGUCUUUGCUGAUUUCUUAUAUGCAUGAUUUGAUAUCCUUGUAAGUCUCUCCGAGUCUUGGGUUUUGUUUGGCCAACUAGAUCUAUGAUUCUUGCAAUGGGAGAAGUGCUUGGUUUUGGGUUCUACCAUGUGGUGACCUUUCCCAGUGACAGUAGGGGCACCAAGGCACACAUCAAGUAGUUGCCAUCAAGGGUAACAAGAUGGGGUUUUCAUCAUUUNNNNNNNNNNNNNNNNNNNNNNNNNNNNNNNNNNNNNNNNNNNNNNNNNNNNNNNNNNNNNNNNNNNNNNNNNNNNNNNNNNNNNNNNNNNNNNNNNNNNGCCUGAGAGCUCGCUGCCGCGCCGUGCCCGCAAGGUGUUCGGCAAAACGCCUACAAGGUAUGUAUUGCUUCAAACUUAUGAAUUUGGUGCAUGUUUUGAGUGAUAGUUUUUAUAGUAUAGUAUUGAACAUUGUAGAUGAGUUCGUCCGAAGAAGAGUUUGAUAUGGAAGAGGAGGAGGAUCUUGCAAUGAUAAUAGCUAUGCAUAUCAAUAAAAAACCGAAGCACGGUGGUUCGGUUAUGGGUCGGGAGAAAAUUUGGAGAGAUAGGAUUGAUGCCCAUAACAGAUUGAUGAAGAACUAUUUCGUGGAGAAUCCCACAUACCCGGAGUCGUAUUUUCGUCACGGUUUAGGAUGAGCACAGACUUGUUCAAGCGCAUUGCAGAGAAACUAGCGAGCCAUGACCGGUUUUUCCAACAAAGGAGGAAUGCCGCCGGAGAGCUUGGUUGUGUUUAUUGCAUUAUUUGUUGUAUUGAAGGAUAAACUAUUUGUUUGAGUUGUAAGACUAUUUAUUGUUGAUUUAUUUUGUUUGUUUGAUCGUUUUUGCGCCUAUUUUUUAAAAUUUAUAUGUGGUUUGUGCGUGCUGCGCGCGCUGCAUUUUUGGGCACUGCUGAAGCGGCGCGCGCGCUGCAUUAUAGCGCGGCUGCUGGAGCCAGCGUCUAACCCCGCGCUAAACCAGCCGAAGCGCGCGCUACAAACGCAUUUUUUGAGCGCGGCGCGAAGCGCUGCUGGUGGAGAUGCUCUUACUUCAGUCAAAAUUUACUAAAACAUGAAAGCUUUGCCCCUUCAUGAGCAAACUUGCCCCCUUUAUGCGUUCAUUCUGGCUCAACGGCAUAAACCGGGUGGCGAGCAGGCGUGAUCAAAUGGAUUAUUUCUGUCUAUACCUAAAUUAUGUUCCCUCUGUAAACCAAUACAAGACAUUCUAGGUCACUACUUUAGUCGAGCAUGGUAGUUUGGUGCAGGGGGAACUUGGCUGAUGAAUGAUGGUAGGCAUGAGGGAAUAAUCACGUACUAGCUCGUAGACAACACUAACUACUUGGCAUGGCCACCUAGCUAAUUUGUCUGUCAAUUUGCUGCCGUUAGGAUUCGUUUUCCCAUGAGAACUUUCGAAUAUUUGUCGCUACACGGCUUGCCAUUGCAAAAGAAUAGUUUUGGCUUUUCGGGAUCGCGAUAGUAAAGUAGGUUCCGCAUUUAGCCUUUUUCUUCUGGAAACUUACUCUUUGAUGCAUGAACCGCCAUUGUUGACCGAGUUCCCUGGCCUGAUGUGAGAGAGAAUGACAUGGACGGUAAUUUUCAGUUGCUAGACGGUGUGCACAAAACAUACACUUCAUUCUUUUAGCAUUUUCCCAUGUGGAUGCACAUGUGAGGUGAGGUGAGGUGAGCUGAUCUGAGUAUAGAUGUCAACCAUUCCACAUAUGCAUGACCAUACAUGGUUAUCCUAGCAAGACUCGCGGCCUCCUACACUUCUCUCUCGAUCGUGUGUCCUCUAGGAGACCCUAGAAGUAACGGUGAAAAAUAUAUAGUGGGUUCGUCCACAAGAGGUCCGGCGCCUUCCUAGUUCCUUCAUCCGUGAUCUCUCUUCCUUUAGUUAACCCUCAAGGAAGGAAGCAGCUCAUCAAAGUUGCUAAAGCCAGAGUCGCCCAACUUCCAAAUCACUUUACUUGAAGGGGUAUAAAGGUGCACCUCACUCUACUCUAGCUCUACCUAUGUGUAUGGAGUAGCACUUUUCCUCUGCCUUCAUCCAACAUAGCACGCGCCUGAAGCUAUACUCAACUUUAUUGCUAUCUGUGGGUAAACAAACAAGGGCAGUUUUACAUGUGAAAAGACGCAGUAAUUUGCAAAUAAUAAUCUCCACGGAUCUUUGUGUAAAAUCCAACGAUGUAGGAGUUAGACAAGGCCUGGUUAAUUCUUAUCUGCAUGAGAAUUAACAAAUACGAUUCUGUAUUAUUGUUUGACUGCGUAUAUCACAACAAUUAUCGAUCGGUAGUCCUAAAUAAGGAGCAGGGUAAAUCUAGGCAUACCCCGGACCGGGUUUCGGGCGGGCUUAAAGCCCGAACUGAAAAUCCCAAGUCCAAGCCCCGCUAGGUACGGCCAAAAAAUCGAAUAUUCAAGCUCGAACCUGGGCCAAAUUGACUAAAAAUAUAAUUUCAGGCCAAGCCUCUAUGUAAAAUGGCUAUUUUUCCAAGCCCGAGCCCAGUCCGAAAUACAGACCAGCCCUAGUUUUCAAGCUUGAGCCCGGCCCGGCCUGGGCUUUUUGGCCGGGCUCGGGCUGGGUCAUCGAGCCGGGCUGCCCAUGCCCAGGUUUAGAGCAGAGAGUAGAGCAGGCACAUAUAAAAGCUACUCCCUCCGUUCCUAAAUAUAAGUCUUUCUAGGGGUUUCAUUAAUAGACUACAUACGAAUGUAUAUAGACAUAUUUUAAAGUAUAGAUUCAUUCAUUUUGCUUCGUAUGUAGACAUUUAGUAAAAUAUCUUAAAAGACUUAUAUUUAUGUACGGAGGGAGUAGUUUAUUGCGGGCACGAUGCCAUCAUGCGUGGAUGGAUAUGUGCAGCCAAAUAUGCAAAUAUACAUCCCUGUCUCACAUUUACAAAUCUGUCUCGCAACUGCACCGGAGCGGCAUCACAGAGGGCGCGGGUGAGCGAAAGGGACUUGCAACAGAAAGGUUUAUAGCCAGCUGCUACAGCCUACCACCCCUUGUACUACUUCCAUUCUCUCUAUCGUCUACCACUGCUACGAGCUUAACCAUAUAUAGCCACCGACCAACCCUUCCCAUGUAAGCUUACCAGAUCAUUUGGUGCCAACGCAAAGCAUCCACCAACCACCGUCCACUAGGAGUGAGUAGACAGUGGAGUAGGUAACAAGGACUCUUGAUUUCAAGUCUCAGCAAAUAAACAUAGCAUGAACAUAUCUUGCAGAAACAUCUUAUAUUAUGGGGUACGGACGGAGUAGCUUGUAGUUAAGGUACAGAUACUACCAUACUGAACUGAAUUUGCGUGGUUAAAUUCAGAAUCAUGUCAAGCCACCAUGUGUACUGCAUCCACUGGUAAAGUAACUAGCUAGCUAGUUGGUCACUCUCUCAGAUUUCAAGUAUGCGGCCGUGACGACCGCUUGGCUUUCCACACGCACAGAGACGUGCCGUGCGUGAUGAAGAAUACACACGUACGCAAAAGGACCUUUAAAGUCAAAAAAUCAUAAAGUAGACAUGCGCAGAAAUUCAUGGCAAGAGGGCCCAAGAUAUCAUAUAUGAAGAAAAGAAAAAAUACACAUAGCGGCAGCUAGCGUCACAAUCAUCACCAUGUGUAUUUCGGUGACGUGCCCGGAUUCCCAGCCAAGCGAGCGCGCGACCAAUUGAUCAACCCAGCUAAUAACGUGCAAUCAGCUCACUGAUUAGGCAGGAGACCGGCAAGUACGUACACUGAUUGAGCAGCAGGAGUUCGUAGCUAGAACGUUUUUCCAAGGGAACACUUUGAGCUAAAAGCUAACACAAGAUCCAAGGGAAAGGUCCGAGCAAGACGAUCACGCCUCGUCGAUCUCUUCUCGCCUUUAUCAGGAAAACAUGUUCGGUUACGAAACUUACGAAAACGUCUUAUAUUAUGAGACGGAGACGAAUGAACCAAGGAAAAUUAUGGCGCUUUACUUGUGAACCAAGUACUAGGAGUACAAGUUAGUCAAAUGGAGCAGUACAAGUCAAGCCUUUAGGCAUGAACUUCCUUCCUCUCUCUCUCNNNNNNNNNNNNNNNCUCCAAUAUCUCCACCGUUCUUCACGUUUACUCCAUAUAUAUGGAUGUAUCCUUUCCCCCUUUUCAAUCAAUCAAUAAAUAUUCCCUUCCACUCCAAGCUAGGCUCCAGCACCAACCAAAUUCUAAUCUAAACAACAAGAAAAGCAGUAACCGAUCGAUCGAAGCUUCAGCCAAUUUUCAUCGAUUCAUGCUUUCUUUUCUUUAACCAGUCGAGAUCGAUUCUGCCGAAAAGAACGGCAAUCGAGCCCCAAAAGGAAGAGGAAGAAACUACGUCGGGCAAAAGAAAAAAAGAGAAGACGGAUGAGAUUCAGGAAGCUAUCCAAAACCAAAAGCAAUGAAUUUCUUGUCUGGACAAGUGGACAUGCAUGCACAUGGUUGAUCGAUGGAGCUCGAGCCGAACCGGAUCGAUCAGAUGUCGACGGCGCAGGCGGCGGCCUGCUGGAAGCGGAAGUAGUCGGGGCCGCCGCCGGUUGUGGCGCCGUAGCUGCCCUUUCCCUCGUUCACCCUGAUGAGGGCCGGGCAGUUGACCCGGAGGUGGUAGUGGCCGGAGAUCCACGUGCCCACCUUCCACCGCACCCAGCCGUCGACGCGCACGUCCACCAGCACGUACCCGGCCGUCUCGUCCUGCGCGAGCGCGAUGGCGAGCUGCGGCGGGAGCACGACGCUGUCCAUGGAUCGGAGGUAGGGCGACCACACCGACUGGUCCCGGUGGCCCUGGUAGGCGACGGGGAGGCGGGUGGGCACGGGGAUGGCCCCGCCCCUGUACUGCGCGGACAUUUCCGUCUCGUCGGAGUAGACGCCGACGCGGGCGUUGGUGUUGCGCGCCGCCACCGUGGCCUGCAUGGUGGUGAAGAGGUAGGCGGAGGUGGGCGGGGUGACGUUGAGGCAGAGCACCGCCAGGUCCUGCAGGUAGAAGGUGGGCUUGUGGGGGCGGAGCACCAGGUAGACGAUGAGGAUGAUGAAGAGGGCGAGGAGGACGAGGGCGAGCAGCGCGCCGCAGCACUUGCGGUAGAGCCGGCGGCGGUGGCACUCGCAGCCGCCCUUGUGCCCGCCGCAGUCCUUCACCGCCAUGGAUUAUGGAUAUGGAUGGUGGUCGNU